This 46033-nucleotide long non-coding RNA is filed under the name Hordeum vulgare. RNAcentral's name for it is "long non-coding RNA (HVUL_LNC004667)". Lineage: Eukaryota; Viridiplantae; Streptophyta; Magnoliopsida; Poales; Poaceae. The record is from RNAcentral.
UUGCAGCCCCUCCGUGGGCGCCGUGUGUGGGAAUGGAGGCGGCGCAGCCUCCUGAGCUCGCCGACGCUCUCACCUGAGUAGGGGGUGGUCUGAGACGUGGCACUCGCGCGGCAACCUUCACUCCGCUGCUCUCCGUGCCGGCGAGAGGNNNNNNNNNNNNNNNNNNNNNNNNNNNNNNNNNNNNNNNNNNNNNNNNNNNNNNNNNNNNNNNNNNNNNNNNNNNNNNNNNNNNNNNNNNNNNNNNNNNNNNNNNNNNNNNNNNNNNNNNNNNNNNNNNNNNNNNNNNNNNNNNNNNNNNNNNNNNNNNNNNNNNNNNNNNNNNNNNNNNNNNNNNNNNNNNNNNNNNNNNNNNNNNNNNNNNNNNNNNNNNNNNNNNNNNNNNNNNNNNNNNNNNNNNNNNNNNNNNNNNNNNNNNNNNNNNNNNNNNNNNNNNNNNNNNNNNNNNNNNNNNNNNNNNNNNNNNNNNNNNNNNNNNNNNNNNNNNNNNNNNNNNNNNNNNNNNNNNNNNNNNNNNNNNUCCCUAUUUUUAGAACCCUGGUCAACAUUUUUGUGUGACUUAUUUCUGUUACAAUAAAUAAAUAGCUUCCUAUUGCUAUUUAUUCCACAUUGGAAAAUUCCUAGAAUAUUCAUUUCAACUCCAAAUCUAGUGAAACCACUUCCUAAAUAUUUCCAAAAUCAUUCUCUGUUAAAUGGGUGCCUCCACUCAUUUUUAACAGAAUGAAUUCUGUUGGCUUCUUCAAUGGUCACCUAUUCCUCCUUUCAUCCAUUCGAAAUUCCCUGAUGAUCCAAAUAUCCUAUAUCAAGCUUCAUGUAUUUUUCUUAUGACCAGAGAGGUCCAACAAAAUAAAACUUCUAUUUAUAGAACACUUUUAUUCUGCUUGAUGUAUGGCUUACCGUGGUUGUUUCCGACGAUAGUUGACGGGUAGACGGAGUAUUCGGAGUUGGAGCGGAAGACCUUGAAGACCCCGAGGACUUACAUGAGCAAGGCAAGCAACCCUUUGACCAUGACUAAGCAUAUGUUACUUUGCAUGAUAAAAUAGCAAGUAUUCUCGUUGCAUAUGAUCACAAGUGUUGGUAAUCAUUUGAUAUGAUUUUACCGAAGGCUCCUCUGGAGCAUUUGCAUUGAGCUUGACCAUACCCCUUGAGGGUCAUGCUAAUACCAUGUUGACAAGUAAAGAUAGCAAUAGUAUUAUCAUGACCAUGAUGUUGUCAUAAAGCAAGAGUUUAUGAAAACCCCGUUGGGUGCCACUAAUGCCCGAGGGUGAUGAUGAGUUAGGUGGUCACUUUUGGUGAAGUGAUGCAUCCGGUAUUUGUGUGAGUAAGGUUUCAGAAAUGGGAUUAGAUUUAUGAUGUGUCGACCGUCCCAACCUUACCAGUACGACCACGUUACCCCUUAUGGGACGGGGCUAUGUUAAUUACUCUGGUCGGUGCUAGCAAAGAGCCACAUUACUAGUGGCGGGAGUGAUAUGUGGUCACUCUUAUGAUGGGGUCGUACCGGGUAGGACGACUAUGCCAUUUUUAUGAGUUCCAGUCACACCGUUGGUCCCCGCAUGGUUGGUACUGUCCAGAGUUGGUGCUCGUAAGAUGUACAACAUGUGGGCUAGGUACCAAUCGAGUGGACCUCUUUGUCUAGUAUCGUUAGGGGAAAGGCAUUGAUCGGGUACUUACCUCGGGUAUGUGAUGUAGCGCGAGUCAUGGAUGACACGGAAGUUUCCCAGAUCUCGUGGGUCCAGCGUACUACCUCUCCAGAGUGUAAACUAUUCGAAUAGCCGUGUCCACGGUCAAGGACAGUUGGGUAAUCCUGCUUAAACUACGUCCUGAUAUUUCCGCAUAAACCAAGUGUGUGUGUAUGGUGAUGAGAAAGGUGUUGCUAUGAUAGCAAUGUUAUGACCAAGUUCGGUGACUUGGCAUAUAGGGUGAACCCGGAUAGUUCAGCCCUCGAUAGAUAUAUCGAUAUCUGUAACCUGUUCUUCAAGAGUAAUUCUGUAAGUUGAUGCAUAUUCAUGAUCAUUCCACCCAGAUGAGUUACACUAGAGAUGCAUGAUAUUGUUAUCCUUCACUUUCGUUGAUUAUAUCAUGGGCUGCUUGCGAGUACAUUCAAAGUACUCAUUGGCUUGCCACUGGUUAUUUCAUUGACCAGGUAUGAAAGAACGGGAUUUGGUGAAGGUUAAAUCGGUGACGUUCUCGCGAGCUAGGACGCUUCCCAGUUAGAAUGCCUGUAGGUUAAGGCUGAUGGCAUGGGUUCACGCUUUCAACCAAUAAUUUCGCUAUUGGUCCAGUUGGAGUGUAGGCCUUUAAGGCCCUAUAUAUGUAAAACUCGACCGAGGUGGUCAUUUACUGUAUCAAACGGUAUGUAUGGAUGUAAGACUCUUUUAUUCAGUAUCUGUGUUCGGUGAGCAUUGAUCUCUGGGAUCACUGAGCACGACAAUCUCGACUCAUAAGUAGGGGUCCCCACAGUUAACAUCUACGUAAUACACAGUUAUUUGGACUAGUUCGCAGUGCCGUUGUCGGACUAGUUCGCCGUGGCCAGUGUCAAACAUGCUCCGCCUCGACGCUUUCUACCAGGCUACGGAUAGCACGGCCACGGACGACUACGAUGGAUGGUGACGAUGACGCCAACAACUAGUUCAUCCGUCGUCGUCAGACUCGACACCAUGACCACCGUCUACCUUGCUCGCAAGUAUUUGUAUAUACACCAACACGUUGAUCACACAUGACGGCAUUGUUAGAAUAUAAUUUAAAUUUAAAAAUAUAGAUAAAGAAUAGAGAUCGAAUAGGUAUAAAUCAUGUAUAACUCAAGUUAUAUAUGAUUUAAACCUAUUUGAUAUCUCUAUCUUUAAAAUUAAGUUAUAUUCUAAUAGGCAUAGCACAGUAACCGAAGAAAACAACCUUCCCAAGAUGGUUGUUUUCUUCAGAAUUCAAAUAGAUCCAAACAAACUUCAUCGGUCGUAAUCUAAGGAUUAUCCUCACGGCUUCGUAAAAGGCUUAUGUCCUUGAUGUACCCCCCCUCCAGUAUCUUCUGCAGAUGUUGUGAACGUCUGGCAGGCACGUUCUGAUGACUACUCAAUAGUUCAGUGGGCCAUGUUGUACGGCUUAGAAUCGAGACUACGAAAGUGUUUUGAAUGACAUGGAGCAUAUGAGAUGUUCCGGGAGUUGAAAUUAGUAUUCCAAGCUAAUGCCCGGAUUGAGAGGUAUGAGACCUCCGAUAAGUUCUUCGCGUGCAAGAUGGAGGAGAAUAGUUCUGUCAGUAAGCACAUACUCAGAAUGUCUGGAUACUAGAACCGCUUGAAUAAGUUGGGAGUUGAGCUUUUGCCUAAGACGGUCACUGACAGAGUUCUCCACUCACUGUCGCCUAGCUAUAAGGGCUUCAUGAUGAACUUUAAUAUGCAAGGGACCCCCCCCCCCCCCCCCUCCGAGCUAUUCGUGAUGCUGAAAGUCACAUAAGUAGAAAUCAAGAAGGAGCAUCAAGUGUUGAUGGUGAAUAAAACCACUUGUUUCAAUAAAGGCAAGGGUAAAAAGUGAAACUUCAAGAAGAACGGCAAGCUUGUUGCCACUCCUAUGAAGAAACCAAGGCUAGACCCAAGCCUGAGACUGAGUGCUUCUAUUGCAAAGGGACUGGUCACUCAAAGCAUAAUUGCCCCAAGUAUUUAGCUAAUAAGAAGGAUGGCAACGUCAAGAACGGUAUGUUUCAUAUACAUAUUAUUGAUGUGUACCUUACUAGCUCUCGUAGUAGUGUCUGGGUAUUUGAUACCGGUUCGGUUGCUCGUAUUUGUAACUCGAAGCAGGAACUACAAAAUAAACUGAGGCUGGCAAAGGACGAGGUGACGAUGCGCGUCGGAAAUGGUUCCAAGGUUGAUGUGAUCAUCGUCGGCAUGCUCGCUAUUCGAUUACCAUCGGCAUUAGUUUUAAACCUAAAUAAUUGUUAUUUGGUGCCUCGUUGAGCAUGAACAUUAUAUCUGGAUCUUGUUUAUUGCGAGACUGUUAUUCAUUUAAAUCAAAGGAUAAUGGUUGUUCUAUUUAUAUGAGUACCACUUUCAUGGUCAUGGACCCAAUGUGAAUGGUUUAUUCUUGUUGAAUCUUGAUCUAGUGAUACACAUGUUCAUAAUAUUGAUGCCAAAAGAUGUAAAGUUAAUAAUGAUAGUACCACUUUCUUGUGGCACUGCCGCUUAGGUCAUAUUGGUGUAAAGCGCAUGAAGAAGCUCCAUGCUGAUGGAUUUUUGGAAUCACUCGAUUUUGAAUCGCUUGAUACAUGUGAACCAUGCCUCAUGGGCAAGAUGACAAAAACCCCGUUUUCCGGAACAAUGGAGCGGUCAAGUGACGUGUUGGAAAUCAUACAUACUAAUGUGUGCAGUCCAAUGAGUGUUGAAGCGCGCGGUGGAUAUCAUUAUUUUCUUACCUUCACUGAUGAUUUGAGUAGAUAUGGGUAUAUUUACUUAAUGAAACACAGGUCUGAAAUGUUUGAAAAGUUCAAGAAAUUUGAGAGUGAAGUUUAGAAUCAUCGUAACAAGAAGUUAAAGUUUCUACAAUCUCAUCGUGGUGGAGAAUAUCUGAGUUAUGAGUUUGGUAUGCAUUUAAGAUAGUGUGGAAUUGUUUCACAGCUCACACCAACUGGAACACCACAACGUAAUGGUGUGUCCGAACGUCGUAAUCGUAUCUUAUUAGAUAUGGUGCAUUCUAUGAUGUCUCUUACCAAUUUUCCACUAUCAUUUGGGGGUCAUGCAUUACAGACAGUUGCAUUCACUUUAAAUAGGGCACCAUCUAAAUCCGUUGAGAAGACACCGCGUGAAUUAUGAUUUGUCAAGAAACCUAUGAUAUCGUUUCUUAAAGUUUGGGGCUACGACGCUUAUGUCAAAAGGCUUUAGCUUGAUAAGCUCGAACCCAAAGCGGAGAAGUGUGUCUUGGUAGGAUAUCAUAAGGAAACAAUUGGGUACACAUUCUAUCUCAGAUUCGAAGGCAAAGUCUUCAUUGCCAAGAAUGGAUCCUUUCUAAAGAAAGAGUUUCUCUCGAAAGAAUUGAGUGGGAGGAAGGUAGAACUUGAUGAGGUUGUUGAACCGUCACUUUAAUUAGAAAGUAGCAUGGCAUAGAAAGAUGUUCCUGUGGUUCCUACACAAAUUGAGGAGGAAGCUAAUGAUGAUGAUCAUGAAACUUCGGAUCAAGUUACUAUCGAACCUCGUAGGUUGACAAGGACAUGUACUGCCCCUGAGUGAUACGGUAAUCCUGUCUUGGAGGUCAUUUUGUUGGACAACAGUGAACCUACAAGCUAUGGAGAAUAGAUGGUGGGACUAGAUUCUCACAAAUGGCUAGAGGCCAUAAAAUCCGAGAUAGUAUCCAUGUAUGAAAACAAAGUAUGGACUUUGGAGGACUUACCUGAUGAUCGUAAGGCCAUUCAGAACAAACGGAUCUUUAAAAAGAAGACAUACACGGAUGGUAAUGUCAUCGUCUAUAAAGCAUGACUUGUUGCAGAAGAGUUUUUAGAAGUUCAAGGAGUUGACUACGAUGAGACUUUCUCUCCCGUAGCGAUGCUUAAGUCCAUCAAGAUUAUGUUAGCAAUAGCUACAUUUGUCGAUUAUGAAAUCUGACAGAUGGAUGUCAAAACACUGUUCCUUAAUGGUUUCCUUCAGAAAGAGUUGUAUAUGAUUCAAUUAGAAGGUUUUGGUGAUCCUGAAAAUGCUGACAAGUAUGCAACCUCUAGCGAUCCAUUUAUGGACUGGUGCAAGCAGCUCAGAGUUGGAAUCUUCACUUUGAUGAGGUGAUCAAAGCGUUUGGAUUCAUACAAGUUUAUGGAGAAGCUUGUAUUUAGAAGAAAGUGAGUGGGAGCUCUAUGGCGUUUCUAAUAUUAUGUGUGGAUGAUAUAUUGCUGAUUGGAAACAAUAUAGAACUUUUGGAAAGCGUGAAGGUGUAUUUGAACAAGAGUUUCUCAAUGAAAGACCUCGAAGAAGCUGCUUACAUAUUAGGCAUCAAGAUCUAUAGAGAUAGAUUGAGACGUUUAAUAGGACUUUCACAACACACAUAGCUUGAUAAGGUUUUGAUGAAUUUCAAAAUGGAUCAGUCCAGGAAGGGAUGUUUGCCUAUCUUGCAAGGCCUGAAGUUGAGUAAGACUCAAUGCCCACAAACUACAAAGGAUAGAGAAAAGAUGAGCACCAUCUCAAGGAGGAGGACAGAAACAUUUAAAAAGUAAAUAGGGAUCUCAAUGUUGUGGACCCGUUGACUAAACCUCUCUCAGAAGCAAAACAUGAUCAACACCAGAACUCUAUGGGUGCUAGAUUCAUUACCAUGUAAAGAUAGAUUAUUGACUCUAGUGCAAGUGGGAUACUCUUGGAAAUAUGCCAUAGAUGCAAUAAUAAUGUGGUUAUUAUCAUAUUUCCUUGUUCAUGAUAAUCAUUUAUUAUCCAUGCUAUAAUUGUAUUGAUCAAAAACUCAGAUACAUGUGUGGAUAUAUAAACAACACCAUGCCCCUAGUGAGCCUCUACUAGACUAGCUUGUUGACCAAACAUGGUUAAGAUUUCCUAACCAUAGACAUGAGUUUUCAUUUUAUAAUGGGAUCACAUCAUUAGAAGAAUGAUGUGAUGGAUAAGACCCGACCAUAAGCAUAGCAUUUGACCGUAUCACUAAAUUAUUGCUACUUCUUUUUACAUGUUAAGUAUGUGUUCCUAAGACCAUGAGAUCAUGAAACUCCCUCACACUGGAGGAAUUACUUGUGUUUAUAAAACGUCGCUUCAUAGCUAGGUGAUCAUAAAGGUACUCUACAGGUAUCUUCGAGGGUGUCUGUUGGGUUGGCAUGGAUCGAGACUGGGAUUUUUCACUCCAUAGACGAAGAGGUAUCUCUGGGCCCUCUCGGUAAUACAACAUCACAAGAAUAUUGCACGCAAUGUGACUAAGGAGUUAGCCAAGAGAUUACAAGUAACGAGACUUGCCGAUAAUGAGAUUAAACAAGGUAUGGAGAUACACACGAUCGAAUCUCGGGCAAGUAACAUACCGAUGGACAAAGGGGACCGCAUACAGGAUUGACUGAAUCCUUGACAUCGUAGUUCGACCGAUAAAUAUAUUCAUAGAAUAUGUGGGAACCAAUAUGGGCAUCCAGGUCAUGCUAUUGGUUAUUGAUCGGAGAGUUGUCUCGGUCAUGUCUACGUGAUUCUCGAACCCGUAGUGUUCGCAUGCUUAACGUACGAUGACGAUAUGGUAUUAUUGUGUUGUAUAUGUUCAUGAUCGAAUGUUGUUCGAAGCCCCUGAUGAGAUCCAGGAAAUGAUGAGGAGCUCAGGAAUGGUCUGGAGGUAAAGAACUAUAUAUGGGAAGUUCCGUUUUGGUCAUCGGAAAGAUUUCAGACAUCACUGGCAGUGUACCGGGAGUGCCACAAGGGUUGAGGGAGUCCAUCGGAAGGAGCCCACCCGCCCUGGGGGCACGUGGGCUGAGGGGGGGUCCUCACGAGCCCCUGGUGGGCUAGGUGCCCCUCCCCACCUUGGCCCAUGCGGCUAGGGAAGGUGGAGGGCAAACCCUAGGGGGCACCACCCUAGCUUGGGGGCCAAGCCACCCCCUAGGUCGCCGCCCCUCCCUUGGAGGCAGCCCUAGGGCUAGCGCAAGCCCUCCCCCUUGGCCCUAUAUAUAUUUGGGGAGAGGGAGGGAAGUUGCACCUCAACCCUAGGUGCAGCCCCCCCCCUCUCUCCUAACUCAGUUUCUUCCUAUAAUCGCGUGAGCAACAGCACUGGGCGAAGUACUGCUGAGAUUGCUCCAUCACCACCGCCACCACACUGUCAUGCUGUUGGAGAACUCAUCUACUGCUCAGCCCUCGCUCACUAGAUCGAGGAGGCGGAGAUGUUAUCAAGCUGCAUGUGUGCUGAACGUGGAGGUGUCGUCCGCUCGACGAUGGAUCGAGACGAAUCGCGAUUGGACGUGAAGACGUACGACUACAUCAACCAUGUUAUAUACGCUUCCGCUUAGCAAACUACAAGGGCAUGUAGAUACACCCCCCUCUCAUAGCUAUGCAUAUCCAUGGACAGAUCUUGUGUGUGAGUAGGAACAUUUUUGUUUCCCAUGCAACAUUUCUCAACACCACUUGUGCUCGAUGUGGCUCGUCUCAGUCUGACUUGCUGAAAACUGUUGGUCGUUCCUAAUAGGUGUGACUAAGAGAUGCUUUGAUAUUCGUGCUAUGCGAGUUAAAUAGUGAACACAGACAAUCAAAUAACUCAUUUUCAUUGGGCCCGGAUAACCUAAUGCAGGCAACCAAACCCAUCCCACGAUGAACCACACCAAUACCCUCCUCAAUCAAUUAGUUGGAGGUUCAAACAAAUUCUUACUAGCACAGUGUUGUUUGAUGCGCGCCAUUGUGGUCAUGCUACCCGUGUGACUGCUAAGUCUUAGCAGCAAUGUUAGUGUGGUCGCGUGUUAGAAAAUUCGAAGAAUGUAUCAAUCUUCUUUCUUUUAAUACAAACAUGUAUAAAUCUACCAAGGGUCAAGUAAUCACACGAAGCAUAACAUCUUACUAGAAGGGUUGGACGCACUUUGUUGCGUUGUUGGGGUUGUUGGGUUUCUUAAAAAAUCACUUUGUUUCAAAAUAUAAGGUCUAUUACUUUAAAAAAAAUUCAAACCUUUUAAGGUUGACCAAAUUUAUAGAAAAAUAUAUUGAAAUUCAUAAUAUCAAAUUGGUACGAUUAGAUUUGUCAUGAAAUGAAUCUCCAUACUAUUGUUAUACCGUGGAUGCGGAUAUUUUUGUUGUGAACUGAAUCAAAGCACUACUAGAGAAAAGCCUAGUAGUAGUGCGGGUUUUUUCCCCUAUUAGUAGUGUGGGUGACCUCGCUACUACUAGGGUGCUACAACUAAUUGUUAGCAGUAGCACGGGGUUGGACCCGUGCUACUAGUAAUAAAAUUAUCAGUAGCGUGGUUCCGAGCCCUUGCUACCGCUAACUAUUAGCAGUGAGGUUGUGUUCCCCGUGCCACUACUAAUCACGCAUAUUUCUUUGUUUUAUUUAUAGUAUAUUUACACAUGGUUAUACAUAUUAAUACACAACAUCAAUAAUAAUUGUGGAAUAAAUAGCAUUUAGACAAAAAUGGCUGGGNNNNNGUCGAAUGAAAGGAUUCCCUUUAUUCGACACUUGUGUGCCGUCGUAACAUCAUAUUUUCCUACUGACCCAACUUAAUCACUUGCACCCAUCCAUUUUAAUCUAUUCUAUGUCAUCUAAUAACUCAUCAUCCUUAGACACAUAACACCUUAUCAUCAUCUUAAUCAUAUAACAACUCAUGACAAGUUAACCAUUAGUACACAAUGUCUCAAACUAGAAAAUGUCCUCUCUAUUAGCUAGCACAUAAUAUUCUCUCCGAGGUAGAACCUACUACUCUCUCCUAGGUAAAAUGGCAUAAAACAGGUAAGCUCCUCCCACUCCAUUGUGAAGAAUAAAGAUCCACCUAUCUCUGACAUGUGGCAUGCGCAAAUCCUUCACAUCUCCACCAAGUGGUUGUCUAUGGUCUUCCAUUAUUUUGCUAAAUCCUUUCAGUUUCAGGAUUUCAUCCCUUCUAGAAUCCGAUUGUGCAUUGUGAAAACAUGUAGGAAACCGUGGUCGUAAGCUGCUAACAUUCAAAUGACCUUCAUCAGUUCAGGCACAACCUUUGAUGGAAAUUUCUCUUGAAUAACAUAAUAAUAACAUAGUUAGCAAUCUAGUUUUGCUUAAGAAAAAUUUAUGUAUGCAAAAUAUGGACUACUUAAUGACACAAUAAUAAAAAAUAAUCUUACCCUGCUUUCUACAUGGAAGUUACUAUGGUUCAACUCGUGCACUAGUGGCACGUAUUCAGAAUAACAUUCGCCAAUAUCUUCGUAAUUGAACUUCAAAUUAUGAACAUCAUGAAUAAAUGAGAUCAGAUAAUUUUUAUCCAGCCAACUUAGAUCGGAGCCAACACUGUAGUAGGUCUGGUCUACUAUCUUUUGAGUUUUUCUUGAAGUAGAGAAAUAAGCUCACAAUUAAAAAUAAACAAGUUAAGUAGGGAGGAACACCAACCAUUUAAAAAUCAACAAUACAAAUUACUUGACAAAUAUGGUUGACAAACUGACAUAGAGCUAAAACUGAAAGCAUAUCGACAUCCACCCAAGUGUCGGUAUUACCUUCAAUAUCAUCUUCAAGACGAAUAUGGAAGGUUAUUUCCAUAUCCUCCUCAAAUCCAUAUGCCUUGCAUAGAGCUUCCCAAUUUGAGCGACCAAAAUGUGCGCGAUUGACUGCAUUGUAUAGUUUAACCCAUAAUGUGAAACCAUGUCUAGUCCUCAGGUUAGCACUCCUCAUCUCCAUAUUUUGGAAACCGAGCUUCUCUAAGACAUAACGUCUUGCAUGGCAGGGGAUGCAUUAGUCGAAUUGUAAACAAAAGAAAUUACACGUUGAAGCAAAGAAACACAUGUCAUGAUUAAUGAUGGAAAGAUAGUUGUUGUCGUUGCGUAUCAUAAAAACAUCAAAGGUCUCAUCAAGAUUGAUGGUGAAAACCUACCAUUUUGCAAGUGAGGCCUGUCGCACAAACCCUGAUCUUUGUUGCAUUAAUCACACUCAGGGAUCCCCUAGUCGUGAGACAUUUCUUGUGUUCAUGAUUAAAAGAUUCAAAAUCAAAUGCAAUUAUACCAGAAAGUAUUCAGCAUGGGUUGAAUUUCGGUUUGGCAAGGCUUUCCUUGAAAAACUGUAAUAUCUCAUGGUGUAUAUGGUGCAUACUCUCUCACACUGAUAUGAUGGUGUAUGUUGGUGGGCACUCCCUCACACUAAUAUUUCGACAAGCGGUGAUGGUCGCUCCUCCCUUCGCUCUCGCGUGCAUUACCCAAAUCUCUAGGACACGGGAACGAAAGAGGACGCGACCCCCAUGACAAUAGUCGGGAUUCUGCCUGUGAUAUUUUGACUGUCGGUGUUGGCCGUUUCCUCUUCUUCUCUCACGCAUUAUACCAAGGUAUAUAUUGUGAGAAGAAGAGCAAAUGACCCCCAUGAAAACAAUCAGGAUUCCUCCAUCAAGAACGGACAUGAAAGUCACACAAGGAACACCUACAUACUGAAAGUACCCUAAUCAACAUAAAUUAAUUUAAAUUGCAUUUAUGAACUAAUGGCAUAAAAUGGCCUACGUUUUGCUGGAAUGUCAUCUAGUUUCCGUUCUACCAAAUCAGGGGCACUCGAUAUUUCCUACUUACUAGCACAAGCCAUGCCAAACUUUUGGCAUGACCGUUUCUAAAAAAGGACAUAUCAAGCACGUGAAAUUUGCUACAACAGAAAUGAAUCAACAUUUUGGCAAAACAUAGGCCUCUCGGAGGUGUUCCCUGCAAUAACAUACACACAUGUGCGAAUAGACCUAAUUUUUACUAAAAAUUUCUAGACCUAAUUUUUUUCUACUAAAAUUUUCGAGACCUAUUUUUUUACUAAAAAUUUCUAUACCGAAUAUUUAUACUACAAGUUUCUACAGGAAUAGAGGGAGAUUUUUAGACCUGGUAUUUUUACUACAAAUUUCUACAAGAACAGAGGGGGAGGGAUGGAGGGAAGUGGUGGGAGGAGAGAGGCAGGGAAGUGAAGGGAGGAGGGAAGUGGGUCGGUGGCCGAAGGAGGAGAAGGGGCGGUGGCCAGAGGAGGGAGAAGGGAGAGGAUGUAGGGGGUAGGAGAGGGCCGGGGGAGGAGGGCGAGGAUGGAAGAGAGAGGAGGGUAGACGGAAUCAGGCUUACGACAAUGGAGGAGAUAGCAGCGAUGGUGCGAUGAGCGAGAGAGAGAGGGAGAGUGUGGUGGGAGUGAGCAACGUGGGCGAGGGGAAGAGGAUAAGAGUAGAUUAGAGGUAGCGCUUGAGGGCGAAGAGCGCAACUGCUAUAGUGUCAGCAGUAGCGCGACAAAUAAAAACUUGCUACCGCUAAGUGGGGUUGACUAGGUGGCACAGUGUGGGAGUACUUGCAGCGAGUCUUCUAAACAUGCGCUACACUAAAUUGUUUAGGAGUAGCGCGCUUCCACGACGUGCGCUACUACACUGCAUAGUCGGGUGCGUAAGCAUACCAGCAUCGCCAUUUGUUCCCCCACGCUACUGCUAAAUGAUACGUCCAUUUUGCAUCAUGUUUUUUUUUUGCUAUUUUUAGUGUUUUUAUGCAUUAUACCACUUUGUGGAGUAAUUCUAAUGCCUUCUCUCUCAUAUAUGCAAGGUUUACAUCAAGAGGGAGAAUGCGAGCAGAUGGAAUUUUGCACAUGAAAAAGCUACAUCAUAGAUACCUAUUCUACACAUCUCCAAAUGGUUUGAAACUUUACAGAGAUUUAUUUUAGAAUAAAUAAAUAAUACUAGAGGAAAGAAGUACCAGAGGGGGGCUACCAAGUGCCAACUAGGCACCAUGGCGCGCCAAACCCCCUAGCGCGGCCUGGUGGGUAGUGGGCCCCUUGGCCCACCGAUGGCGACCAUCUUAUGGUAUAAAUUCUCUUUUGACCUAAAAAAAUAAGGAGAGUACUUUUGAAAUGAAGCGCCGCCAUCUCAAGGCGGAACCUGGGUAGGAGCACUUUUGCCCUCCGGCGGAGCGAUUCCACCAGAGGAACUUCCCUCCCAGAGGGGGAAAUCGAGACCAUCGUCAUCACCAACAACCCUCUCGUCUUGGGGAGGCAAUCUUCAACAACACCAUCUCAUAUCAAAACCCUAGUUCAUCUCUUGUGCUCAAUCUUGUACCGGAACCUCGGAUUGGUACCUAGGGUGUGACUAGUAGUGUUGAUUACAUCUUGUAGUUGAUGCUUUAUGGUUUAUUUGGUGGAAGAUCUUAUGUUCAGAUCCAGUAUGCUAUUUAAUACCUCUCUGAUCAUGAGCAUGUUUAUCACUUAUUAGUAGUUAAUUUUGUUGUUGAGGCCAUGAGAGAAGUCAUGUUGCAAGUAGUCACGUGAAGUUGAUAUUCGUUCGAUAUUUUAAUGAUAUGAAUGUUGUGAUUCCCUUAGUGGUGUUAUGUGAACGUCAACUACAUAACACUUCUCCAUAUUUGGGCCUAAAGGAAUGCAUUGUGGAGUAGUAAUUAUAUGGUGGGUUGCAAGAGUGAUAGAAACUUAAACCCUAGUUUAUGCGCUAUUCCGCGAGGAGCUGAUUUGGAUCCCUAUGUUUAAUGCUAUGGUUAGAAUUUAUUCUUAAUACUUUCCUCGUAGUUGCGGAUGCUUGCGGGAGGGUUAAUCAUAAGUGGGAGAUUUUAUCAAGUAAUAAUAGCACCCAAACACCGGUCCACCCACAUAUCAAAUUAUCAAAGUACCAAACGCGAAUUAACCCGACAUGUUGAAAGUGACUAGAUGAAAUUCCCGUGUGCCCUCAAGAACGCUUUGCCUAUUAUAAGAAACCAUUCCGGCCUGUCCUUUGCCUCAAAAGGAUUGGUCUAUCUUGCUGCACCUAUUGUUACUAUUGAUACUUUGUCACUUGAUACAAUUAUCUUGCUAUCAAACAACUUAUUACCGCUAUUUCAGUGUUUGCAGAAAUUACCUUGCUGAAACUGUUUGUCAUUUACUUACGCUCCUUGUUGGGUUCGACACUCUUUAUUAUAGAAAGGACUAUGAUUGAUCCCUAUACUUGUGGGUCAUCAAGGCUCUUUUCUGGCGCCGUUGUCGGGGAGUGAAGUGCCUUUGGUAAGCACAAUUUGGUAAGGAAAAAUUUAUAUUAUGUGCUGAAAUUUACUCUUACUUGUCACUAUGGAAAGUAAUCCUUUGACGGGUUUGUUCGGGGUAUCUUCACCUCCACCGGAAACACCAAGAGUUGUCCCUCAACCUACUGAACCUACUGAAAAUGUUUAUUAUGAAAUUCCUUCGAGUAUGAUGGAGAAACUGCUAGUUAAACCUUAUGCAGGAGAUGGAACAAAACAUCUUGAUAUGCACAUAAUCUAUGUGGAUGAAGUUUGUGGAUUAUUUAAGCUUGCAGUUUUAUCCGAAAAAGAAGUCAAGAAGAAGGUUUUCCCUUUAUCUUUUGGGAGGCAAAGCAUUGAUACAGUUUAGGAUAUGUGAUGAUACAAGAUAUUGGAACUAGAAUCGAUUGCAAUUGGAGUUUCACCAAAAUAUUUUCCCUAUGCAUCUUGUUCAUCAUGAUCGGAGUUAUAUAUAUAAUUUUUGGCCUCGUGAAGGAGAAAGUAUCGCUCUAGCUUGGGGUAGGCUGAAUUAAAUGUUAUAUUCAUGCCCCAAUCAUGAGCUCCCGAGAGAAAUUAUUAUUCAUAAUUUUUAUGCUCGGCUUUCUCGUGAUGAUCAAACCGUGCUCGAUACUUCUUAUUCUGGUUCUUUUAUGAAGAAGACUAUUGAAUUCAGGUGGGGUCCCUUGGAAAGAAUUACACGUAACUCUAAAGAUUGGGAACUCGACGAAGGUAAAGAUUCAGGUAUAAAACUGAAGUUUCAUUGUGUUAAAUCAUUUAUGAAUACAGAUGAUUCAAUGAUUUUAGCAAUAAAUAUGGACUUUACUAUGAGAUAGUAACCUCAUUUUGUGAAACCUUUGCUGCUCAUGUUGAUCUCCCUAAAGAGAAAUGAUUUAAAUAUCAUCCACCUAUUAAAGUAAAGGUUGAAGAACCAAUUAAAGUUGAGGAUGAAACUAUCAUUUACAAUGUUGACCCAGUUGCGCCUACUGCUUAUAUUGAGAAACCACCUUUCCGUGUUAGGAUAAAGUAACAUGCUAAAGCUUCAACUGUGGUUAAAAAUAUUACGUUAGAACAGCCAAACCCUAUGCGCAAAUCAAGGUAGAACCUAGUAGUUCUAUGGUUAAAGAUCUCUUGGUCGAUAAUAUUGAUGGUCAUGUUAUUUAUUUCUGUGAUGAAGCUGCUAGAAUUGCCAAACCUGAUACUAAAGAUAAAAAUAGACACGUUGUUGGCAUGCCUGUCGUCUGAGUCAAAAUAGGAGAUCAUUGCUAUGAUGAUUUAUGUGAUAUGGGUGCUAGUGUUAGUUCUAUUCCUUUUACCUUAUAUCAAGAAAUUAUGCAUGAGAUAGCACGUGCUGAAAUAGAAGACACAGAUGUUACUAUUAAACUUGCUAAUAGAGACACCAUCACACCACUUGGGAUUGUUAGAGAUGUUCAAGUCUUGUGUGGAAAAGUAAAAUACCCUACUUAUUUUCUAGUACUUGGCUCACCACAAGAUAAUUUUUGUCCCAUAAUAUUUGGUAGACCCUUCUUGAACACUAUCAAUGCUCAAAUAGACUGCAAAAAGGAAACUGUGAGUGUUAAUUUUGGUGGUAUGUCUCAUGUGUUUCAUUUCUCCCAAUUUGGUAAGCAACCCCAAGAUAAAGAAUUGCCUAGUAAAUAUCAAAUAAUUGGUCUUGAUUCUAUUGCCAUUCCUCCUACUGAUCCAUUAGGAUAAUAUUUGCUAGACCAUGAAAAUGAUAGGCAUAUGCGUGAAAGAAAUGAAAUAAAUAAUACGUUCUUUGAACAACAGCCUAUCCUUAAACACAACUUGCUUGUAGAAACUCUAGGAGGUCCUCCUCCACCUAAGGGUGAUCAUGUGGUUGAGUUAAAGCUAUUACCUGUCACUUUGAAAUAUGCUUAUCUUGAUCAAAAGAAGAUAUAUCCUGUUAUUAUUAGUGCUAACCUUACAGAGCAUGAAGAAGAAAGAUUGUGAAAAACUUUAAGGAAGCACCGAGCUACUAUUGGGUGUACUCUUGAUGAUCUUAAGGGCAUUAUCCCAACUCUUUGUCAGCACAAUCUUAAUAUGGAACCAGAUGCCAAACCCAUUGUUGAUAACCAUCGAAGACUGAAUCCCAAAAUUAAAGAAGUGGUAAGAAAUGAAAUAUUGAAGCUUCUCGAAGCAGGUAUAAUUUAUCCCAUAGGUAAUAGUAGAUGGGUAAGUCUCGUUCAUUAUGUCCUUAAGAAAGGAGGUAUUAUUGUUGUUCCUAAUGAUAAAAUGAACUCAUUCCACAAAGAAUUGUGACUGUCCAUAGAAUGGUAAUUGAUUUUAGAAAAUUAAACAAGGCUAUUAGAAAAGAUCAUUAUCCUUUACCUUUCAUAGACCACAUGUUAGAAAGAUUAUCGAAGCAGACACAUUUUUGCUUUCUAUAUGGUUAUUCUAGUUUUUCUUAAAUAUCUGUGUCACAACCUGGUCAAGAGAAAACCACCUUCACUUGCCCUUUUGGAACCUAUGCUUAUAGACAUAUGCCUUUUGGAUUAUGCAAUGCCCCUGCUACCUUUCAAAGAUGUACGACUGCUAUAUUCUCGGACUUUUGUGAAAAGAUUAUUGAGGUUUUCAUGGUUGAUUUUUCCAUUUAUGGAACUUCUUUUGAUGACUGCUUAAGAAACCUUGAUCGAGUUUUCUAGAGAUGUCGGCAAACUAACAUUGUAUUGCACUGGGAGAAGUGCCAUUUUAUGGUAAAUGAAGGGAUUGUCUUGCGUCAUUAAAUUUUUGAACGAGGUAUUGAGGUGGAUAAGGCUAAAAUUGAUGCAAUUGAGAAGAUGCCAUGUCCUAAAGAUAUUAAAGGUAUCCGUAGUUUCCUUGGUCAUGUUGGUUUCUGUAGGAGGUUUAUUAAAGACUUGUCUAAAAUUUCUAGACCUCUUACCAAUUUAUUACAAAAGGAUGUUCCUUUCGUUUUUGAUGAUGACUGUGUAGAAGCCUUCGAAACACUUAAUAAAGCUUUAACUUCUGCACCUAUUGUUCAACCACUUGAUUGGAACUUGCCUUUUGAAAUUAUGUGUGAUGCUAGUGAUUGUGGUGUUGGUCCUACUCUAGGACAAAGAGUUGUUAAGAAACUAAAUGUUAUCCAUUAUGCUAGUAAAACUCUAGAGAGUGCACGGAGAAAUUAUGCUACCACUGAAAAAGAAUUCUUAGCAGUAGUAUUUUCUUGUGAUAAAUUCAGAUCUUACAUUAUUUAUUCUAAAGUAAUUGUUCACACUGAUCAUGCUGAUGUUAAAUAUCUUAUGGAAAAUAAAGAUGCUAAACCUAGACUUAUUAGGUGGCUUCUUCUGUUACAAGAAUUUGAUGUGCAUAUCAUUGAUAGGAAAGGAUCUGAGAACCCCGUAGCUGAUAACUUGUCUACGUUAGCAAAUGUUCUUGAUGACCCACUACCUAUUGAUGAUAGCUUCCUUGAUGAACAACUAGUUGUGGUCAAUGUUUCUCAUAACACACAGUGGUUUGCUGAUUACGCUAAUUACAUUGUUGCUAAAUACAUACCACCCAGUUUCACUUAUCAGCAAAAGAAAAAAAUCUUCUUUGACUUAAGACAUUACUUUUGGGAUGACCCACAUCUUUAUAAAGAGGGAGCAGAUGGUAUUAUUAGACGUUGUAUACCUGAGCAUGAACAGGAACAAAUCCUUCAGAAGUGUUACUCCGAGGCUUAUGGAGGACACCAUGCGGGAGAUAGAACUGCACACUGUUGGAAAUAUGCCCUAGAGGCAGUGAUAAAAUAGUUAUUAUUAUAUUUCCUGUUUCAAGAUAAUCGUUUAUUAUCCAUGCUAUAAUUGUAUUGAAUGAAAACAUAGAUACAUGUGCGGAUACAUGGACAAAACAAUGUCCCGAGCAAGCCUCUAGUUGGCUAGCCAGUUGAUCAAGGAUAGUCAAGGUUUUUUGACUAUAUGCAAGUGUUGUCACUUGAUAACUCGAUCACAUCAGGAAUCAUGUGAUGGACUAGACCCAAACUAUGAACGUAGCAUGUGAUCGUGUCAAUUUGUUGCUAUUGUUUUCUGCCUGUCAAGUAUUUAUUCCUAUGACCAUGAGAUUAUAUAACUCACUGUCACCGGAGGAAUACCUUGUGUGCAUCAAACGUCACAACUUAACUGGGUGACUAUAAAGGUGCUCUACAGGUAUCUGUGAAGGUGUCUGUUGAGUUAGUAUGGAUCAAGACUGGGAUUUGUCACUCCGUGUGACGGAGAGGUAUCUCGGGGCCCAAUCGGUAAUACAACAUCACACACAAGCCUUGCAAGCAAUAUGAUUAAGUGUAAGUCACGGGAUCUUAUAUUACGGAACGAGUAAAGAGACUUACCGGUAACGAGAUUGAAAUAGGUAUGCGGAUACCAACGAUCGAAUCUCGGGCAAGUAACAUACCGAAGGAUAAAGGGAAUGACAUACGGGAUUAUAUGAAUCCUUGGCACUAAGGUUCAACCGAUAAGAUCUUCAGAGAAUAUGUACAAUCCAAUAUGGGCAUCCAGGUCCCGCUAUUGCAUAUUGACCGAGCAGUGUCUCGGGUCAUGUCUACACAGUUCUCGAACCCGCAGGGUCUGCACACUUAAGGUUCGAUGAUGUUUUAGUAUAGUUGAGUUAUAUGUGUGGUUAUCGAAUGUUGUUAGGAGUCCCGGAUGAUAUCACAGACGUCAGAGGGUUUCCAGAAUGGUCCAGAAACGAAUAUUGAUAUAUAGGAUGGUUUCAUUUGGUCACCGGAAAGUUUCGGGCAUUUCCGGCAGUGUACCGGGAGUGAUGAAUGGGUUCCGGGUGUUCACCGGGAGGGGCCCACCCACCCGGGAGUGGGCCAAGUAACCUUAGGGUGGCGCACCAGCCCUUAGUGGGCUGGUGGAGCCAGCCCAAGAAGGCUAUUGCGCCACAAGUGAAAAAACCAAAGGAAAAAAAGGAAAGAGGAAGGUGGGAAGGAAGAGGAGGACUCCUCCUUCCCAAACCGAAUUGGAGAAGGAGUCCUCCUCUCCACUUCGGCUAGCACACCCUUGGGGCCGUUGUGCCCCAAGGCUAGCCCCUCCCCUCCACUUAUAUAUACUGGUGGUUUUAGGGUUUUUGACACACAACUUUUCCACGUGCAACUCAAACCUAUACCACAUAGUUUUGCCUCUAGAUCGGAUUUCUACGGAGCUCAGGCGGAGCCCUGCAGGAGUAGAUCGUUGAUACGUCCAUUUUGCAUCAUGCUUUUAUGUUGAUAUUUAUCGCUUCUUGGGCUGUUAUUUCACUUCACGGUACAAUACUUAUGCCUUUUCUCUCUUAUUUUGCAAGGUUUACAUGAAGAGGGAGAAUGCCGGCAACUGGAAUUCUGGCCUGAAAUUGGAGCAAGUUUGAGAUACCUAUUCUGCGCAACUCCAAAUGCCGUAAAAAUCAACGAGGAUUUUUUCGGGAUUUAUAAAAAAUACUGGGCCAAAGAAGUGCCAGAGGGGCCCCAGCAGGUGGCCACAAGCUUGCUAGGCGCGGCCACCCCAUGGCCGCGGCUAGGGGGCUUGUGGGCACUCAGCUGGCCCUCUGGCUUCCCCCUUUUGCUACAAGAAGGGUCUCGUCCAGAAAAAAAAAUCAGGAGGAGGCUUUUUCGAGGAUUCGCGGCCGCCACGAGGCGGAACUUGAGCAGAACCAAUCUAGAGCUCUGGUAGGAUGAUACUACCGGGGAAACUUCCCUCNUCCAAACCCUAGUUCAUCUCUUGUAACCAAUCUCCGUCUCGCAACUCCGGUUGGUACUUGUAAGGUUGCUAGUAGUGUUAAUUACUCUUUGUAGUUGAUGCUAGUUGGAUUAUUUGGUGGAAGAGUUUAUGUGAUUAUGCUUUGUGAUUAGUUACUUUUGUUCCUGAGGACAUGGGAUAAGUCAUGCUAAUAGUAGUCCUGUGAAUUUGGUAUUCGUUUGAUAUUUUGAUGUGUUGUAUGUUUCUUUUUCCUCUAGUGGUGUUAUGUGAAUGUCGACUACAUAACACUUCACCAUUAUUUGGGCCUAGAGGAAGGCAUUGGGAAGUAGUAACUAGAUGAUGGGUUGCUAGAGUGACGGAAGCUUAAACCCUAGUUUAUGCGUUGCUUCGUAAGGGGCUGAUUUGGAUCCACUAGUUUAAUGCUAUGGUUAGACUUUGUCUUAAUUCUUCUUUUGUAGUUGCGGAUGCUUGCGAGAGGGGUUAAUCAUAAGUGGGAUUCUUGUCCAAGUAAGGGCUGUACCCAAGUUCCGGUCCACCCACAUAUCAAACUAUCAAAGUAACGAACGUGAAUCAUGUGAACAUGAUGAAAACUAGCAUGAUAGAAAUUCCCGUGUGUCCUCGGGAGCGUUUUUCCUCCUAUAAGACUGUGUCCAGGCUUGUCCCUUGCUACAAAAGGGAUUGGGCCACUUUGCUGCACCGUUGCUACUUUUGUUACUUGUUGCUUGCUACGAAUCAUCUCACCACGCAACUACUUGUUACCGAUAAUUUCAGUGCUUGCAGAUACUUCCUUGCUGAAAACCACUUGUCAGAUCCUUCUGCUCCUCGUUGGGUUCGACACUCUUACUUAUCGAAAGGACUAUGAUAGAUCCCCUAUACUUGUGGGUCAUCAAGACUCUUGUCUGGCACCAUUGCCGGGGAGUGAAGCGCCUUUGGUAAGUGGAACUUGGUAAGGAAACAUUCAUAUAGUGUGCUGAAAUUUAUUGUCACUUGUCACUAUGGAAACUAAUCCUUUGAGGGACUUGUUCGGGGUAUCUUCACCUCGAAUGGAAGCACAAAGAGUUGCUCCUCAACCUGCUGCACCUACUGAAAAUUUUUCUUUGAAUUUCCUUCAGAUAUGCUUGAGAAACUGCUGGCUAAUCCUUCUACAGGAGAUGCAACAUCACAUCCAGACUUGCAUCUAAUCUAUGUAGAUGAAGUUUGUGGUUUAUUUAAGCUUGCAGGUUAGCCCGAGGAUGAGGUCAAGAAGAAGGUCUUUCUUUUAUAUUUCAAGUAUAAGGCGUUAACAUGGUAUAGGCUAUGUGAUGAUACUGGAUCAUGGAACUACAAUCGGUUGAAAUUGGAAUUUCAUCAAAAGUUUUAUCCUAUGCAUUUAGUACAUCGUGAUCGGAAUUAUAUUUAUAAUUUUUGGCCUUGUGACAGAGAAAGCAUCGCUCAAGCUUGGGGGAGGCUUAAAUCAAUGUUAUAUUCAUGCCCCAACCAUGAGCUCCCGAGAGAAAUUAUCAUUCAGUACUUCUAUGCUCGGCUUUCUCAUGAUGAUCGCACCAUGCUUGACACUUCUUGUACCGGUUCUUUUACGAAGAGAGAUAUUGACUUUAGAUGGAAUUUAUUGGAGAGAAUUAAACACAACUCUGAAUAUUGGGAGCUUGAAGAAGGUAAGGAGUCAGGUAUGAAUUCCAAGUUUGAUUGCAUUAAAUCCUUUGUUGAAACAAAUACUUUUUGUGACUUUAGCUCUAAGUAUGGACUUGACUAUGAGAUAGUAGCUUCAUUGUGUGAAUCAUUUGCUGCUCAUAUUGAUCUCCCCAAAGAGAAGUGGUUUAAAUAUCACCCUCCUUUAGAAGUCAAUGUAGUUAAACCCAAUCCAGUUGAAGAGAAAGUCAUUCCCUAUAAUGAUCCUAUUGUUCCGAGUGCUUACAUUCAGAAACCACCUUUCCCUAUUAGGAGAAAGGAUCAUUCUACUGCUUCAACUGUGAUACGUAGAGGCUACAUUAGAACACCUACACCCCCUGAGCAAAUUAGAGUUGAACCUAGCAUUGCUAUUAUCAAACAUCUUCUGUCCGACGAUGUUGAGGGACAUGAUAUUCAUUUCUGUGAAGAUGCUGCUAGAAUUGCUAAAACUCACGCUAGAGACAAACAUAGGCCUAUUGUUGGCACGCCUGUUGUUUCUGUUAUGAUAGGAGAUCAUUGUUAUCAUGGUUUAUGUGACGUGGGUGCUAGUGUUAGUGCAAUACCUCAAUCCUUAUAUGAUGAAAUCAAAGACAACAUUGCAUCUAUUGAGAUAGAACCUAUUGAUGUCACUAUUUAGCUUGCCAAUAGAGAUACUAUCUGCCCUGUGGGAAUUGUUAGGGAUGUUGAAGUCUUGUGUGGUAAAACAAAGUAUCCUGCUGAUUUCCUCAUUCUUGCUACCGCACAAGAUAGCUUUUGUCCCAUCAUAUUUGGCAGACCUUUUCUCAAUACUGUCAAUACUCAUAUUGAUUGUGAGAAGCAAACUGUCACUGUUGGCUUUGAAGGUGUGUCACACGAGUUCAAUUUCUCCAAGUUUGGUAGACAACCUCAUGAAAAAGAGUCGCCUAGUAAGGAUGAAACUAUUGCCUUAGCUUCUAUUGUCGUGCCUCCUACUGAUCCCUUAAAGCAAUACUUGCUUGAGCAUGAAAAUGAUAUGCAUAUGGAUGAAAGGGAUGAGAUAGAUGGAGUUGUCUUAGAAAAAUAUCCUAUUCUUAAGAAUAACUUGCCUGUUGAACUGCUUGGGGAUCCACCCCCACCAAAGGGUGAUCCUGUGUUCGAGCUUAAACAGUUGUCUGAUACUCUUAAGUAUGCUUAUCUUGAUGAAAAAGAGAUAUAUCCUGUUAUAAUUAGUGUUAGCCUCUCACAGCAUGAAGCAAAUAAGUUACUAAAAACUCUGAGAAAGGACAGUGCUGCUAUUGGAUAUACUCUUGAUGAUCUUAAGGGCAUUAGUCCCACUCUAUGCCAGCACAAGAUUAAAACUGAUCCUGAUUCCAAACCAGUUGCUGAUCAUCAAAGGAGAUUAAAUCCUAAGAUGAAAGAAGUAGUGAGAAAAUAAAUACUAAAGCUCCUGGAAGCGGGUAUCAUCUAUCAUGUUGCUCAUAGGGACUGCGUGAGUCCGGUGCAUUGCGUCCCUAAGAAGGGAGGUAUUACCGUUGUCCCUAAUGAUAAUGAUGAAUUGAUCCCAUAGAGGAUUAUUACUGGCUAUAGGAUGGUGAUCGAUUUUAGGAAAUUGAAUAAAGCCACUAGGAAAGAUCAUUACCCUUUGCCUUUUAUCGACCAAAUGCUAGAAAGAUUGUCUAAACACACACACUUCUGCUUUCUAGACAGUUAUUCUGGUUUCUCCCAAAUACCAGUUGCACAAUCUGAUCAGGAGAAAACCACUUUCACCUGCCCUUUCGGUACCUUUGCUUAUAGACGUAUGCCGUUUGGGUUAUGUAAUGCACCUGCCACCUUUCAAAGAUGUAUGAUGGCUAUAUUCUCUGACUUUUGUGAAAAUAUUGUCGAGGUUUUCAUGGAUGACUUCUCUGUUUACGGGUCUUCCUUUGAUGAUUGCCUCAGCAACCUUGAUCGAGUCUUGCAGAGAUGUAAAGACACCAAUCUUGUCUUGAAUUGGGAGAAGUGCCACUUUAUGGUUAAUGAAGGCAUCGUCUUAGGACAAAAAUUUCUGAAAGAGGUAUUGAAGUCGAUAAGGCUAAGGUUGAUGCAAUCGAGAAAAUGCCAUACCCCACAGAUAUCAAAGGUAUAAGAAGUUUCCUUGGUCAUGUUGGUUUCUAUAGAAGGUUCAUUAAAUACUUCUCUAAGAUUUCUAGGCCUCUUGCCAAUCUCUUGCAAAAGUAUAUUCCUUUUGUUUUCGACGAUGAUUGUGAGGAAGCCUUAGAAAUACUUAAGAAGGCUUUGAUAACUGCACCUAUUGUUCAACCACCUGAUUGGAACCUACCUUUUGAGAUCAUGUGUGAUGCUAGCGAUUAUGCUGUUGGUGCUGUCCUAGGGCAAAGAGUUGAUAAGAAGUUGAAUGUUAUUCACUAUGCUAGUAAAACUCUAGACAGUGCCCAAAGAAACAAUGCAACUACGGAAAAGGAAUUUUUAACAGUCAUGUUUGCAUGUGAAAAGUUCAGGUCUUACAUAGUUUAUUCCAAAGUCACUAUUCACACUGAUUACGCUGCUAUUAAGUACCUCAUGGAGAAGAAAGACGCUAAACCUAGACUUAUCAAAUGGGUUCUCUUGCUACAAGAAUUUGAUUUGCACGUUGUCGACAGGAAGGGUGCUGAUAACCCCGUAGCAGAUAACUUGUCUAGGUUGGAGAAUGUUCUUGAUGACCCACAACUUGUUCAUGAUAGCUUUCCCGAUGAGCAAUUGCCCCCCAGUUCACGUAGUGCACCGUGGUAUGCUGAUUAUGCAAACUAUAUCUUUGCCAAAUAUAUACCACCUAGUUUCACGUACCAGCAGAAGAAGAAAUUCUUCUUUGACUUGAGACAUUACUUUUGGGAUGAUCCUCACCUUUAUAAGGAAGGAGUAGAUGGUGUUAUUAGACGUUGUGUACCUAAACAUGAACAGGGACAGAUCCUACAGAAGUGUCACUCCGAGACCUAUGGAGGACACCAUGCUGGAGAUAGAACUGCACACAAGGUAUUGCAAUCAGGUUUCUAUUGGCCCACUCUCUUCAAGGAUGCCCGUAAGUUUGUCUUGUCUUGUGACAAUGUCAAAGAGUAGGUAAUAUCGGUAAAUGUCGGGAAAUGCCUAUGAACUAUUCACUUGUCAUUGAACCAUUUGAUGUUUGGGGCUUUGAUUAUAUGGGACCUUUUACAAAAUCCAACGGGUAUACUCACAUCCUAGUUGCUGUUGACUACGUCACUAAGUGGGUAGAAGCUAUCCCCACUAGUAGUGCUGAUCACAACACUUCUACCAGGAUGCUUAAAGAAGUUAUUUUCCCUAGAUUUGGAGUCCCUAGAUAUCUAAUGACCGACGGUGGUUCACACUUCAUUCAUGGUGCUUUCCAUAAAACGCUUGCUAAGUAUGAUGUUAACCAUAGAAUUGUGUCUCCCUAUCACCCUCAGUCCAGUGGUCAAGUACAGCUAAGCAAUAGAGAAAUUAAACUAAUUCUUCAAAAGACUGUCAACAGGUCUAGAAAGAAUUGGUCUAAGAAGCUCGAUGAUGCACUGUGGGCUUAUAGAACUGCCUAUAAGAAUCCCAUGGGCAUGUCACCGUACAAAAUGGUGUACAGUAAAGCAUGUCAUUUACCUCUUUAGCUAGAGCAUAAAGCUUAUUGGGCAAUCAAAGAGCUCAACUUUGAUUUCAAACUUGCUGGUGAGAAGAGGUUAUUUGAUAUUAGCUCGCUUGAUGAGUGGAGAACUCAGGCAUAUGAGAAUGCCAAGUUGUUCAAAGAAAAGGUUAAGAGGUGGCAUGAUAAAAGGAUACAAAAGCGUGAGUUCAAUGUAGGUGAUUAUGUCUUGCUAUAUAAUUCUCGUUUAAGAUUUUUUGCAGGCAAGAUUCUCUCUAAAUCGGAAGGUCCCUAUAUUGUUGAGGAAGUAUAUCGUUUUGGUGCUAUCAAGAUCAACAACACGGAAGGUAAUUGUCCGAGAGCUGUAAAUGGGCAGAGAAUCAAGCAUUAUAUCUCAGGUACUCCCAUAAAUGUUGAAAGCAAUAUCAUCAAUACCAUAACUCCGGAAGAAUACCUAAGGUAUAUUUAUCAGCCUGUUUCAGACGCCGAAAACGAAGAGGUAUGUGAUUCGGUAAGAAAACAUACUCCAAAACUUUUCCAAUAGGAAUUUUUCUCCGUUUUGGAAUAUUUGAAAAAUAGAAAAAUUGGAAGUAGUUCGGAAAGCGCGCGAGGAGGCAACAAGCCUGCCAGGCGCGGGGCCACCCCGUGGCUGCGCCUGGGGGGCUUGUGGCCACCUCGUGUGCCUCCCGGACUCUGUUUUCAUGCGGAGUACUCCUUCUGGUGUGGAAAAAUCAUUAUAUAUUCUCCCGUAAGGUCUGACCCUCGUAUCAUGCGAAUUUCCUCUGUUUUCGUUUCGAGCCCGUUUUCUGUCGCAGAUUUAGAGCAAGGAUGCCAUCUCAGGAAUCUGUCGGGGAGAACAAUUUCCCUCAAGUCUAUGAAGAAGUAGAUGCUGAUCUGAAAAGAGUGAAAGUCACAGAAGCCAAGGGUAGAACUAGGGAGAGGAAUCAGGCGUGGGACGAAGUGCAAUCUGUGUUCAACAAGGAAGAAGUUGAAGAAGUGGAUUUCCUCCAACCCUACCUCUACCUACUGUCUCCAUGCUUGAUUGAACUCUUAAGGUUUUGUGAAACAACUCGUGCUCGCAAUACUUAUCUGACUCGUGAAGUUGUUUUGCUGGAGAAACAUAUCACAGAUCUCCAAGGCAUAAAUCAAAGACUGGUGGCCCUCUUGGAAUCAAAGGACAAAACAACGCCAUCACCAUCACCUCCAAAGGAAGACAACUAAGCAUGGGUAUGGGCAAUCCCCUUGGCUUGUGCCAAGCUUGGGGGAGUUGCCCCGGUAUCGUAUCACCAUCACAUCUUUUGCCUUUACCUUUGUUUUAGUUUGUUCCUUUUCAGUUUUCUUUUUCUCUAGUAGACUAAAAGUCUUAGUGUUUUAGUCUUGAGUUUUGCUUUGUGUCACCCCCGAUGUAUUCGAGCUCGUGAGCCAUAUAAUAAAGAGUGUCUUAGUUGAAGGGCUUUGCCUCAUGCCAUGAUCAAUAGAUUGAGAAAAGAACAAAAGCAUGAAAGAUCAUGUAAUGAUCUUAUGGGAAGCGAUGGCUUCACAUAUAAAAAGAAUGUUGAUUGAAACUUGUUGAGGGUAGACAAACAUAGACCUUGGUCAUUGUUGCAAUUCAUAGGAAGUGAUAAAGAAGGAGAGGUUCACAUAUAAAUAUAUCAUCUUUGACACCAUCUAUUAUUGUGAACACUCACUAAACUAUUGCUUGCUUAGAAGUAGAUGUUGGACAAGGAAGACAACAUAAUGAAUUGUGUUUACUUGGUUCCAAACAAUGUUAUAUGAUUAGAGAUCCCUUAGCAUGUGAAGAUUUCUUCCACCUAAUAUUAGCCAAAACUCCCGCACCAAGUAGAAAUACUACUUGUGCAUCUAUAAACCUUCAACCCAGUUUUGCCAUGAGAGUCCACCAUACCUACCUAUGGAUUGAAUAAGAUCCCUCAAGUAAGUUGUCAUCGGUGCAAGCAAUAAAAAUUGUUCCCUAAUAUGUAUGAUCUAUUAGUGUGUGGAAAUUAAGCUUUGUACGAACCUGUGAUGAGGAAGACAUAAAAGCAACAUACUGCAUAAUAAAGUUCUUUAUCACAGGAGGCAAUGUAAAGUGACGUUCAUCCGCACUAAGAGGACACGCAUCCAAACCUCAAAAGCGCAUGACAACCUCUGCUUCCCUCUGCGAAGGGCCUAUCUUGUACCUUUACUUUUUGCCCUUGAAAGAGUCAUGGUGAUCUUCACCAAUUCGUUGUUUCGCCUUUAUCUUGGCUAACGUCAUAUGCUAGGGAAAGAUCUAUAUUCAUAUGUCAACUUGGAAGUAAGUAUUCAUGAAUUAUUGUUGUUGACAUUACCCUUGAGGUAAGCAGUUGGGAGGCAAAACUAUAAGCCCCUACCUUUCUCUGUGUCCAGCUGAAACUUUGAUCUCAUGAGUACCACGUGAGUUGUAGCAAUUGUAGAGAACGAAAGGAUGAUUGAGUAUGUGGAUUUGCUUUACAAGCUCUUAUUUGACUCUUUCUGAUGUUUUGAUAAAUUGCAAUUGCUUCAAUGACUACAUGCUAUCGGUUGUUACUUCUCGGUAAGGUUCUUGAUCCAUACUUUACUUUGUGAAGGAAUUGUCACUUUAGCAUGAGAGAUUAUAUGUUGGUGUUGCUGUUCUGAUCAUGAUCAUGAUGCAUGCAUGUUCGUAUUUUGUUUUGUCGACACAUCUGUCCCUAAACAUGUGGUCAUAUUUAUUGAGCUCGGCUUUCGCUUGAGGACAAGCGAGGUCUAAGCUUGGGGGAGUUGAUACGUCCAUUUUGCAUCACGCUUUUAUGUUGAUAUUUAUCGCUUCUUGGGUUGUUAUUUCACUUCACGGUACAAAACUUAUGCAUUUUCUCUCUUAUUUUGCAAGGUUUACAUGAAGAGGGAGAAUGCCGGCAGCUGGAAUUCUGGCCUGAAAUUGGAGCAAGUUUGAGAUACCUAUUCUGCGCAACUCCAAACGCCGUAAAAAUCAAUGAGGAUUUUUUUCGGGAUUUAUAAAAAAUACUGGGCCGAAGAAGUGCCAGAGGGGCGCCAGCAGGUGGCCACAAGCCUGCUAGGCACGGCCACCCCCUGGCCGCGCCUAGGGGUCUUGUGGGCACCCAGCUGGCCCUCUGGCUUCCCCCUUUUGCUACAAGAAGGGUUUCAUCCGGAAAAAAAUCAAGAGGAAGCUUUUUCGAGGAUUCGCCGCCGCCACGAGGCGGAACUUGAGCACAACCAAUCUAGAGCUCCGGCAGGACGAUCCUGCCGGGGAAACUUCCCUCCCGAAGGGGGAAAUCGUCGCCAUCGUCAUCACCAACACUCCUCUCAUCGGAGGGGACUCAUCACGAUCAACAUCUUCAUCAGCACCAUCUCAUCUCCAAACCCUAGUUCAUCUCUUGUAACCAAUCUCCGUCUCGCGACUCCGAUUGGUACUUGUAAGGUUGCUAGUAGUGUUAAUUACUCUUUGUAGUUGAUGCUAGUUGGAUUAUUUGGUAGAAGAGUUUAUGUUCAGAUCCUUGAUGCUACUCAUUACCUCUCUGGUCAUGAAUAUGAUUAUGCUUUGUGAGUAGUUAUUUUUGUUCCUGAGGACAUUGGAUAAGUCAUGCUAAUAGUAGUCAUGUGAAUUUGGUAUUCGUUCGAUAUUUUGAUGUGUUGUAUGUUGUUUUUCCUCUAGUGGUGUUAUGUGAACGUCGACGACAUAACACUUCACCAUUAUUUGGGCCUAGAGGAAGGCAUUGGGAAGCAGUAAGUAGAUGAUGGGUUGCUAUAGUGACAGAAGCUUAAACCCUAGUUUAUGCGUUGCUUCGUAAGGGGCUGAUUUGUAUCCACUAGUUUAAUGCUAUGGUUAGACUUUGUCUUAAUUCUUCUUUCAUAGUUGCGGAUGCUUGCGAGAGGGGUUAAUCAUAAGUGGGAUGCUUGUCUAAGUAAGGGCAGUACCCAAGCGCUGGUCCACCCACAUAUCAAACUAUCAAAGUAACGGACGUGAAUCAUAUGAACAUGAUGAAAACUAGCAUGCCAGAAAUUCCCGUGUGUCCUCGGGAGAGUUUUUCCUCCUAUAAGACUUUGUCCAUGCUUGACCCUUGCUAAAAAAGGGAUUGGGCCACUUUGCUGCAUCGUUGCUACUUUUGUUACUUGUUGCUUGCUACGAAUCAUCUCACCACACAACUACUUGUUACCGAUAAUUUCAGUGCUUGCAUAUACUUCCUUGCUGAAAACCACUUGUCAGAUCCUUCUGCUCCUCGUUGGGAUCGACACUCUUACUUAUCGAAAGGACUACGAUAGAUCCCCUAUACUUGUGGGUCAUCAAGACUCUCUUCUGGCGCAGUUGCCGGCGAGUGAAGCGCCUUUGGUAAGUGGAACUUGGUAAAGAAAAAUUCAUAUAGUGUGCUGAAAUUUAUUGUCACUUGUCACUAUGGAAACUAAUCCUUUGAGGGGCUUGUUUGGGGUAUCUUCGCCUCGAACGGAAACACAAAGAUUUGCUCCUCAACCUGCUGCACCUACUGAAAAUAUUUUCUUUGAAUUUCGUACGGGUAUGCUUGAGAAACUGCUGGCUAAUCCUUUUACAGGAGAUGGAACAUCACAUCCAGACUUGCAUCUAAUCUAUGUAGAUGAAGUUUGUGGUUUAUUUAAGCUUGCAGGUUAGCCCGAGGAUGAGGUCAAGAAGAAGGUCUUUCCUUUAUCUUUGAAGGAUAAGGCGUUAACAUGGUACAGGCUAUGUGAUGAUACUGGAUCACGGAACUACAAUUGGUUGAAAUUGGUAUUUCAUCAAAAGUUUUAUCCUAUGCAUUUAGUACAUCGUGAUCGGAAUUAUAUUUAUAAUUUUUGGCCUCGUCAUAGAGAAAUCAUCACCCAAGCUUGGGGGAGGCUUAAAUCAAUGUUAUAUUCAUGCCCCAACCAUGAGCUCUCGAGAGAAAUUAUCAUUCAGAACUUCUAUGCUCGGCUUUCUCAUGAUGAUCGCACCAUGCUUGACACUUCUUGUACCGGUUCUUUUACGAAGAGAGAUAUUGACUUUAGAUGGAAUUUAUUGGAGAGAAUUAAACACAACUCUGAAUAUUGGGAGCUUGAAGAAGGUAAGGAGUCAGGUAUGAAUUCCAAGUUUGAUUGCAUUAAAUCCUUUGUUGAAACAAAUACUUUUUGUGACUUUAGCUCUAAGUAUGGACUUGACUAUGAGAUAGUAGCUUCAUUGUGUGAAUCAUUUGCUGCUCAUAUUGAUCUCCCCAAAGAGAAGUGGUUUAAAUAUCACCCUCCUUUAGAAGUCAAUGUAGUUAAACCCAAUCCAGUUGAAGAGAAAGUCAUUGCCUAUAAUGAUCCUAUUGGUCCCAGUGCUUACAUUGAGAAACCACCUUUCCCUGUUAUGAAAAAGGAUCAUUCUAAAGCUUCAACUGUGAUACGUAGAGGCUACAUUAGAACACCUACACCCCCUGGGCAAAUUAGAGUUGAACCUAGCAUUGCCAUUAUCAAAUAUCUUCUGUCCGACGAUGUUGGGGGACAUGAUAUUCACUUCUGUGAAGAUGCUGCUAGAAUUGCUAAACCUCAUGCUAUAGACAAACAUAGGCCUGUUGUUGGCAUGCCUGUUGUUUCUGUUAAGAUAGGAGAUCAUUGUUAUCAUGGUUUAUGUGACGUGGGUGCUAGUGUUAGUGCAAUACCUCAAUCCUUAUAUGAUGAAAUCAAAGACGAGAUUGCACCUAUUGAGAUAGAACCUAUUGAUGUCACUAUUCAGCUUGCCAAUAGAGAUACUAUCUGCCCUGUGGGAAUUGUUAGGGAUGUUGAAGUCUUGUGUGGUAAAACGAAGUAUCCUGCUGAUUUCCUCGUUCUUGCUACCGCACAAGAUAGCUUUUGUCCCAUCAUAUUUGGCAGACCUUUUCUCAAUACUUUCAAUGCUCAUAUUGAUUGUGAGAAGCAAACUGUCAUUGUUGGCUUUGAAGGUGUGUCACACGAGUUCAAUUUCUCCAAGUUUGGUAGACAACCUCGUGAAAAAGAGUUGCCUAGUAAGGAUGAAACUAUUGGCUUAGCUUCUAUUGCCGUGCCUCCUACUGAUCCCUUAGAGCAAUACUUGCUUGAGCAUGAAAAUGAUAUGCAUAUGGAUGAAAGGGAUGAGAUAGAUAGAGUUGUCUUAGAACAAUAUCCUAUUCUUAAGAAUAACUUGCCUGUUGAACUGCUUGGGGAUCCACCCCCACCAAAGGGUGAUCGUUUUUUCGAGCUUAAACAGUUGCGUGAUACUCUUAAGUAUGCUUAUCUUGAUGAACAAGAGAUAUAUCAUGUUAUAAUUAGUGUUAGCCUCUCAGAGCAUGAAGAAAAGAAGUUACUAAAAACUCUGAGAAAGCACCGUGCUGCUAUUGGAUAUACUCUUGAUGAUCUUAAGGGCAUUAGUCCCACUCUAUGCCAGCACAAGAUUAAAACUGAUCCUGAUUCCAAACUAGUUGCUGACCAUCAAAGGAGAUUAAAUCCUAAGAUGAAAGAAGUAGUGAGAAAAGAAAUACUAAAGCUCCUGGAAGCUGUACCACUACAUCAACCGCGUUUCUUAACGCUUCCCGCUUAGGGAUCUACAAGGGUACGUAGAUCUAAUCUCCUCUCAUAGAUGGACAUCACCAUGAUAGGUCUUCGUGUGCGUAGGAAAUUUUUUGUUUCCCAUGCAAUGUUCCCCAACAGUGGCAUCAUGAGCUAGGUUCAUGCGUAGACAUUAUCUCGAGUAGAACACAAAAAAAUUUGUGGACGUUGAUGUUUGAUUUGCUGCCCUCCUUAGUCUUUUCUCGAUUCGGCGGUAUUGUUGGAUUGAAGCGGCCUGGACCGACAUUACUCGUACGCUUACGAGAGACUGGUUUCAUCGACUAACAUGCAACUCGUUGCAUAAAGAAGACUGGCGGGUGUUUAUUUCUUCAACUUUAGUUGAAUUGGUUUUGACCGAGGCGGUCCUUGGAGAGAGGUUAAAUAGCAAUUUGCACAUCUCCGUUGUGGUUUUUACGUAAGUAAGAUGCGAUCAUACUGGAUACCCAUAGCAGCCACGUAAAACAUGAAACAACAAAUUAGAGGACGUCUAACUUGUUUUUGCAGGGUAUGCUUGUGAUAUGAUAUGGCCAAUGAUGUGAUGUGAUAUAUUGGAUGUAUGAGAUGAUCAUGUUCUAAUAGUUAAUAUCGACUUGCACGUCGAUGCUACGGCAACCGGGAGGAGCCAUAGGGUUGCCUUUAAACUAACAUUUGUGUUUGCAGAUGCGUUUACUAUAUUGCUAGGUCGUAGCUUUAGUAGUAAUAGCAUAGAUAGCACGACAACCUCGAAGGCGGCACGAUGAUGGAGAUCAUGGUGUGGCGCCGAUGACAAGAAGAUCAUGCCGGUGCUUUGGUGAUGGAGAUCAAGAAGCACAAGAUGAUGGCCAUAUCAUGUCACUUAUGAGUUGCAUAGGAUGUUAAUCCUUUUAUGCACCUUAUUUUGCUUAGAACAAUGGUAGCAUUAUAAGGUGACCUCUCACUAAAAUUUCAAGAUGAAAUUGUGUUCUCCUCGACUGUGCACCGUUGCGACAGUUCGUCGUUUCGAGACACCACGUGAUGAUCGGGUGUGAUAGACUCAACGUUCACAUACAACGGGUGCAAAACAGUUGCACAUGCGGAACACUCGGGUUAAACUUGACGAGCCUAGCAUGUGCAGACAUGGUCUUGGAACACAUGAGACCGAAAGGGCGAGCAUGAAUCGUAUAGUUGAUAUGAUUAGCAUAGAUAUGCUUACCACUAACACUAUUCUCAACUCACGUGAUGAUCUGACUUGAGUUAGUGAAUUUGGAUCAUGUGCCACUCAAAUGACUCGAGAGAUGUACUUUUGGAGUGGGAGUUUAUCAGUAAUUUGAUUAGUUAAACUCUAAUUAUCUUAAACAUAGUCUAAGUCCACUUUGCAAUAUUUGUGUUGUAGAUCAAUCGCUCACGCAGUAGUCACCCUGGAUUUUAAUACGUUCCUAGAGAAAGCUAAGUUGAAAGAUGAUGGAAGCAACUUUGUAGACUGGGCUCGUAAUAUAAAGAUGCUCCUGCAAGCUGGGAAGAAGGAUUAUGUCCUUAAUGCUACGCUAGGAGAUGAACCACCCGCUACGUCUAGCCAAGAUGUUUUGAACGUCUGGUUAACACGUAAGGAGGACUACUCAAUAGUUCAAUGUGCAGUCUUGUAUGGCUUAGAGCCGGGACUUCAACGUCGCUUUGAGCGUCAUGGAGCAUAUGAGUUGUUCCAGGAGUUGAAGUUUAUCUUUCAGAAGAACGCUCAGAUCGAGAGGUAUGAGACCUCCGAUAAAUUCUAUGCGUGCAAGAUGGAGGAGAAUUCGUCUGUCAGUGAACAUGUCCUCAAAAUGUCUGGGUACUCAAACCGUCUAGGUGAGCUGGGGAUUGAACUCCCGCAAGAGGCUAUCACUGACAGAAUUCUCCAAUCACUACCACCUAGCUAUAAGAGCUUUGUGUUGAACUAUAACAUGCAAGGGAUGAACAAGUCACCCGGCAAGUUAUUCGCGAUGCUGAAAGUCGCAGAGUCAGAACUCCGAAAAGAGCAUCAAGUGUUGAUGGUCAAUAAAACCAAUGGUUUCAAGAGAAACGGCAAAGGAAAGAAGGGUAACUCCAAGAAGAGCGGCAAGCCUGUUGCCAAUCCGACGAAAAAACCCAAGGCUGGACCUAAGCCUGAAACAAAGUGUUAUUAUUGCAAGGGACUGGGUCACUGGAAGUGCAAUUGCCCCAAGUAUUUGGCUGAUAAGAAGGCGGCCAAGGAAAAUCAGGUAUAUUUGAUAUACAUGUUAUUGAUGUGCACUUAACCAACUCUCGUAGCAGUGCCUGUGUAUUCGAUACCAGUUCUGUUGCUCAUAUUUGCAACUCGAAGCAGGAACUGCGGAAUAAACGAAGGCUGGUGAAGGAUGAAGUGACGAUGUGCAUUGGAAAUGGUUCCAAGGUUGAUGCAAUUGCCAUCGGCACAGUCUCACUUCAGUUACUAUCAGGAUUAGUUAUGAACUUAAAUAAUUGUUAUUUAGUGCCUGCGUUAAGCAUGAACAUUAUACCUGGAUCUUGUUUAUUGCGAGACGGUUACUCGUUUAAGUCAGAGAAUAAUGGUUGUUCUAUUUCUACGAGUAAUAUAUUUUACGGUCAUGCACCCAAUGUGAGAGGAUUGUUCAUAUUGAAUCUUGAUAGCAAUGAUACACAUAUACAUAACAUUGAGACCAAAAGAUGUAGAGUUAACAAUGAUAGCGCCAUGUUUUUGUGGCACUGCGGCUUAGGUCAUAUUGAUGUAAAGCGCAUGAGGAAACUCCAUUCCGUUGGGCUUUUGGAGUCACUUGAUUUUGAAUCACUUGACACGUGCGAACCAUGCCUCAUGGGAAAGAUGACUAAGACUACGUUCUCCGAAACAAUGGAGCGUGCAAGUGACUUGUUGGAAAUCAUACAUACCGAUGUGUGCGGUCCAAUGAGUGUGGAGGCGUGCGGCGGAUAUAGUUAUUUUCUCACCUUCACUAACGAUUUGAGUAGGUAUGGAUAUAUCUACUUGAUGAAGCACAAGUCUUAAACGUUUCAGAAGUUCAAGCAAUUUCAGAGUCAAGUUGAAAAUCAUCGUAACAAGAAGAUCAAGUUCCUACGUUUUGAUCGUGGGGGUGAAUAUCUGAGUUUCGAGUUUUGUGAUCACUUAAGACAAUGUGGAAUUGUUUCACACUUGACACCGCCUAGAACACCACGGCGUAAUGGUGUGUCCGAACGUCGUAAUCGUACUUUGUUAGAAAUGGUGUGAUCUAUGAUGUCUCUUACCAAUUUGUCGUUAUCAUUUUGUGGUUAUGCAUUAGAGACAGCUGCAUUCACUUUAAAUAUGGCACCAUCAAAAUCCGUUGAGACGACACCAUAUGAACUGUGGUAUGGCAAAAGACCAAAAUUGUCGUUUCUUAAAGUUUGGGGAUGUGAUGCUUAUGUCAAAAAGCUUGAGCCUGAAAAGCUGGAACCCAAAGCGGAAAAGUGUGUCUUCAUAGGUUACCCAAAGGAGACAGUUGGGUACACCUUCUAUCUCAAAUCCGAGGGCAAAGUAUUUGUUGCUCAGAACAUAGCUUUUCUUGAGAAGGAGUUUCUCUCGAAAGAAUUGAGUGGGAGGAAGAUAGAACUUGAUGAGGUUGUCGAACCUCUAAUCCCUCUAGAUGGUGGCGCAGGCCAAGGGGAAACCCCUGUCGAAGCGGCGCCGGUUGAGGAGGAAGUUAAUGAUGAUCAUCGUGAAACUUCGGAUCUAGUUCCUAUCGGCCCUCGCAGGUCGACAAGAUCACGUACUACUCCUAAGUGCUACGGUAAUCCUGUCUUAUCAAUCAUGUUGUUAGACAACAAUGAACCUGCAAAUUAUGAAGAAGCAAUGGUGGGCCUGGAUUCCAACAAAUGGCUGGAGGCCAUGAAGUCCGAGAUAGGAUCUAUGUAUGAAAACAAAGUGUGGACUUUGGAAGUAUUACCUGAAGGCCACAAGGCUAUUCAGAACAAAUGGAUCUUUAAGAAGAAGACGGACGCAGACGGUAAUGUGACCGUUUAAAGUUCGACUUGUGGCAAAGCGUUUUUCACAAGUUCAAGGAGUUGACUACAAUGAGCCCCCGUUCUCACCAGUAGCGAUGCUUAAGUCCGUCCGAAUCAUGUUAGCAAUAGCUGCAUUUUUCGAUUAUAAAAUCUGGCAGAUGGAUGUCAAAACGGCAUUCCUUAACGAUUUUCUUAAGCAAGAGUUGUAUAUGAUGCAACCCGAAAGGUUUUGUCGAUCCAAAGAAUGCUAACAAAGUAUGGAAGCUCUAGCGAUCCAUUUAUGGAUUGGUGCAAGCAUCUCGGAGUUGGAAUAAGCACUUUGAUGAGGUGAUUAAAGCAUUUGGAUUUAUACAAGUGGUUGGAGAAUCUUGUAUUUACAAGAAAGUGAGUGGGAGCUCUGUGGCAUUUCUAAUAUUAUAUGUGGAUGACAUAUUGCUGGUUGGAAACAACGUGGAGUUUUUGGAGAGCGUAAAGGAUUACUUGAAUAAAAGUUUCUCUAUGAAGGACCUAGGAGAAGCUACUUACAUUCUGGGCAUUAAGAUCUAUAGGGAUAGAUCAAGACGCCUGAUAUGACUUUCACAAAGCACAUACCUUGAUAACUUCUGAAGAAGUUCAAAAUGGAACAGUCCAAUAAGGGGUUCUUGCCAGUGUUACAAGGUAUAAAAUUGAGUAAGACUUAGUGCCCAGCAACUGCGGAAGAUAGAGAACAGAUGAGUUCCGUCCCCUAUGCUUCAACCAUAGGUUCUAUCAUGUAUGCAAUGCUGUGCACUAGACCGGACGUCAGCUUGGCCAUAAUUAUGCCAGGCAGGUUUCAAAGUAAUCCAGGAGUGGAUCAUGGGACGGCAUUCAAGAAUAUUAUGAAGUACCUGAAUAGGACUAAGGAAAUGUUUCUCGUUUAUGGAGGUGACGAAGACCUCAUCGUAAAGGGUUACGUCGAUGCAAGAUUUGACACUGAUCUUGAUGACUCUAAGUCUCAAACUGGAUAUGUAUUUAUUCUUAAUGGGGGUGCGGUAAGCUGGUGCAGUUCCAAGCAAAGCGUCGUAGCAGAUUCUACAUGUGAAGCGGAGUACAUGGCUGCCCCGGAGGUAGCUAAGGAGGGUGUCUGGAUGAAUCAAUUUAUGAUGGAUCUUGGAGUUGUGCCGAGCGCACUAAAUCCAAUAACUUUGUUUUGUGACAACACUGGUGCCAUUGCUUUAGCAAAGGAACCAAGGUUUCUCAAGAAAAUCAGGCACAUCAAACGACGCUUCAACCUCAUCCGCGACUACGUCGAAGGAGAGGACGUAAAUAUUUGCAAAGUGCACAUGGAUGUGAAUGUAGCAUAUCCGCUGACUAAACCUCUUCCACGGGCAAAACAAGAUCAACACCAGAACUGUAUGGGUGUUAGAUUUAUUAAAAUGUAAACCACAUGGCGAUGUGAGGACUAGAUAAUUGACUCUAGUACAAGUGGGAGACUGUUGGAAAUAUGCCCUAGAGGCAAUGAUAAAAUAGUUAUUAUUAUAUUUCUUGUUUCAAGAUAAUCAUUUAUUAUCCAUGCUAUAAUUGUAUUGAAAGAAAACAUAGAUACAUGUGUGGUUACAUAGACAAAACAUUGUCCCUAGCAAGCCUCUAGUUGGCUAGCCAGUUGAUCAAGGAUAGUCAAGGUUUUCCGACUAUAUGCAAGUGUUGUCACUUGAUAACUGGAUCACAUCAUUAGGAGAAUCAUGUGAUGGACUAGACCCAAACUAUGAAUGUAGCAUGUGAUCGUGUCAUUUUGUUGUUAUUGUUUUCUGCAUGUCAAGUAUUUAUUCCUAUGACCAUGAGAUCAUAUAACUCACUGGCACCGGAGGAAUACCUUGUGUGCAUCAAACAUCACAACGUAACUGGGUGACUAUAAAGGUGCUAUGCAGGUAUCUCCGAAGGUGUCCGUUGAGUUAGUAUGGAUCAAGACUGGGAUUUGUCACUCCGUGUGACGGAGAAGUAUCUCGGGCCCACUCUGUAAUACAACAUCAGACACAAGCCUUGCAAGCAAUGUGACUAAGUUUAAGUCACGAGAUCUAGUAUUACGGAACGAGUAAAGAGACUUGCCGGUAACGAGAAUGAAAUAGGUAUGCGGAUACCGACGAUCGAAUCUCGGGCAAGUAACAUACCGAAGGACAAAGGGAAUGACAUACGGGAUUAUAUGAAUCCUUGGCACUGAGGUUCAACCGAUAAGAUCUUCGGAUAAUAUGUAGGAUCCAAUAUGGGCAUCCAGGUCCCUCUAUUGGAUAUUGACCGAGGAGUGUCUCAGGUCAUGUCUACAUAGUUCUCGAACCCCCAGGGUCUGCACACUUAUGGUUCGAUGAUGUUUUAGUAUAGUUGAGUUAUAUGUGUGGUUAACGAAUGUUGUUUGGAGUCUUGAAUGAGAUCACGGUCAUCACGAGGGUUUCCGGAAUGGUCCGGAAACUAAGAUUGAUAUAUAGGAUGGUUUCAUUUGGUCCAUCUGAAAGUUUCGGGCAUUUCCGGCAGUGUACGGGGAGUGACGAAUGGGUUUCGGGUGUUCACCGGAAGGGGCCCACCCACCCAGGAGUGAGCCCAGUAGCCUUAGGGUAGCGCACUAGCCCUUAGUGGGCUGAUGGAGCCAGACCAAGAAGGCUAUGGCGCCACAAGUGAAAAAACCANCGCCACAAGUGAAAAAACCAAAGAAAAAAAAGGAAAGAGGGAGGUGGGAAGGAAGAGGAGGACUCCUCCUUCCCAAACCGAAUUGGAGAAGGAGUACUCCUCUCCAUUUUGGCCGGCGCACCCUUGAGGCUCUUGUGCCCCAAGGCUAGCCCCUCCCCUCCUCCUAUAUAUACUGGUGGUUUUAUGGUUUUUGACACACAAAUUUGCCACGUGCAACUCAAACCUAUACCACAUAGUUUUGCCUCUAGAUCGGAUUUCUGCGGAGCACGGGAGGAGCCCUGUAGGAGUAGAUCGUCACCACCACCGGAGCGUCGUCACGCUAUCGGAGAACUUAUCUACUUCUGUGUCUCUCUUGCUGGAUCAAGAAGGCCGAGAUCGUCAUUGAGCUGUACGUGUGCUAAAUGCGGAGGUGUCGUCCGUUCGGCGCUAGAUCGGAACGGAUCGUGGGACGGAUCAUGGGACGACGGUGAUUUGAAUCAUGAACCUGUACCACUACAUCAAACACGUUUCUUAAUGCUUCACGCUUAGCGAUCUACAAGUUUACGUAGAUCUAAUCUCCUCUUGUAGAUGGCCAUCACCAUGAUAGGUCUUCGUGUGCGUAGGAAAUUUUGUGUUUCCCAUGCAACGUUCCCCAACACACACAAGGUAUUACAGUCUAGAUUUUAUUGGCCAACUCUUUUCAAAGAUGCUCGUAAGUUUGUCCUCUCUUGUGAUGAAUGUAAAAGAAUUCGUAAUAUUAGUAGACGUCAGGAAAUGCCUAUGAAUUAUUCACUUGUUAUUGAACCAUUUGAUGUUUGGGGAUUUGGUUAUAUGGGACCUUUUCCUUCCUCUAAUGGGUAUACACAUAUUUUGGUUGCUUUUGAUUAUGUCACUAAAUGGGUAUAAGCUAUUCGUGUUGGGUUCUACCAUAGGUGCAUCGCAUGCGAAUUAAAUUUUUCCUACGCACAGAACAUCCAAGAACAUGCUAUGGAGAUGGAUCAUAGAACGCUACCACUAGACGCGCAGUGUCGUGCAGCAGAAGUAGAGUUGGGGCAGCACGUCUGCAUGGUCCAUCUCCUCCUCGUCCGAUCUCCCUCGAACAGUCGGUCGCCGGAUCGUCUCCCUCGAAUAGCCGGUAACCAGAUCCCACGCACAGGUUCAUCAAAGCGGCGCUGGUGCACCGCCUCUAACAGUAUUUGCGCGUGAGGAGGAACACUGUGCGGCGGACUGCUAGGUCCAGAUCACACGGUCGGCAGCAGCGAGUGGAGGUGGCUAGUUGCAACACAUGCAAAGCCCUAAUGACGACGCCGAAGCGAUCAAUCAGAUAAGUGUGCUGCACCUCCACUAUAUAUAGGUGUCCAGCGCAGUCUCAACUCUUGGGCCUCGCACGGACCCUAAAGGCCAUGUAUUCCUUCCCUUAAGCAUGCGUACUUUUAGGUUCUUGUUCACUUGGCCACGAGUGAGACCAUGUUCGACUCAACUAGUCGGUUGUGGCCUCUAGCAAGGCAUGACGACUCCUAGUGUACGAUGAAGCUGGUUAGGCGAACAUGUACUUCAUACUCAUGUUCCCUUUGCCACACGAUAUACGUUGUCGUGCUCAAGGCGACAUGGUCACCCUUGUUGCCGCACGACCUAUUUCUCGUUCCGGUGAAUUUGACCAACAUUCGGAUUAUCUCCCCAUCCUCAUCGCAUCGCUAUGCUUAUCCAGAUCAGAUCACCCGAGGGGCCCAGAGUAUAUCUCUCCUAGUCAGAGGGGCAAAUCCCAUCUUGCUCGAGCACGUCUCGCAACAUGGGUCUAGACAAGCCCGAAACCUACCUUUAUAAGUACCCAGUCACGGAGUCGCAUUUGGUCGGCCCAAAGCAUGUUUGUCACCAUCCCAAGUACAUGCGCCAGCUCAGGUCCUAGGACAUAAAACGUAUGUUGUGCUAGAGACUCACAGAUGACCUAUCGCUGCGUCUCAUAGUUGCGUCUGUCCAACUCACACCUUAUCUCAACUCGGAUCCGACUAAGUCGAAUACGACCAGAUCUUUCCGAGUCCAUAUUAUCCGGCUAGCAUCCAAUGCUACAUGGUCAGUGAGACCGAACUGUCCACCGUAUCAUAUGCUAGUCUAGUUAGUUGAGCGUGCACACAACUCUUUCGACUAGGGACAAUUUAGGACAGUCAUCAUACAAUGUAUAGUCUCACAAACAAGUCAUGCACUUGUUAAUACACAUCCUUGAUAAUGUCCAAGGACUAUAUUUAUUCAUAAACACAUAGGAAAUAUCAUCAUACAUGAUUGCCUCUAGGGAAUAUCUCCAACAAUUCCAACCAAUAGUGUUGAUCAUAACACUUCUAUUAAAAUCCUUCAAGAAGUUAUUUUCCAAUAUUUUGGAGUCCCUAGAUACUUAAUGACUCAUGGUGGUUCACAUUUUAUUCAUGGUGCUUUCGUAAGCUGCUUGCAAGAUAUGAUGUUAACCAUAGAAUUGCAUCCCCGUGUCAUCCUCAAUGUAGUGGUCAAGUAGAAUUUACCAAUAGAGAAAUAAAAUUAAUAUUGCAAAAGACUGUUAGUAGGUCCCGAAACAAUUGGUCUAAGAAAUUAGAUGAUGCACUGUGGGCCUACAGAACAGCUUAUAAAAAUCCUAUGGGUAUGUCUCCUUAUAAAAUGGUUCAUGGGAAAGAGUUAGAACAUAAAGCUUAUUGGGCAAUUAAAGAACUCAACUGUGAUUUCAAACUUGUUGGUGAAAAGAGGUUAUUUGAUAUUAGCUCAUUAGAUGAAUGGAGAACCCUAUCUUAUGAAAAUGCCAAACUAUUCAAAGAAAAAGUUAAAAUAUGGCAUGAAAAAUGAAUCCAAAAGCGAGAUUUCGAAGUUGGUGAUUAUGAUAAAUUUGUUCAAUUCUCGUCUUAGAUAUUUUGCAGGAAAACUUCUCUCCAAAUGGGAAGGACCAUAUAUCAUCGAAGAAGUUUAUCGGUGUGGAGAUAUUAACAUGAAUAAUCCCGAAGGCACUAACCCGAAAGUUGUCAAUGGGUAAAUAAUAAAACACUAUAUUUCAGGUACACCAAUUAAUGUUGAAACAAAUAUUAUCCAAACCAUGACACCAGAGGAACACAUAAAGGAGACGUUCUAGAACACUCCAGAACCCUUAGAAGGAAGAGGUAUGUGAUAUGGUAAGUAAAUGGACUGCGAAAAAUCUGCAAAAAUAUUUUAUGUUAGUUUUGGUAUAUUCUAAAAAUUAGGAAAUUGAUAAACAGACGAGAAGGCAACCUAGGUGCCCACUAGGCACCAGGGCGCGCCAGCCCCCCUGGCACGGCAUGGUGGCUAGUGGGCCCCUCACGCACCUUCCUCACUCCGUUUUCUUGUGGGACACGUAUUUCCUUGUAUAAAAAUUCUCUAUAUAUAUCUCCCGAUGAUUUGACCCCAGUACCAUGGAGAAAUCAUGUGUUCUUGUUUCGCGCUAUUUUUCUGACAGAUCUAGGUCGCCAUGGCUUCGUCAAGCCCCUCCAAAGACAAGUUCUUCGAGAGGGUCAUCAACCCCUACUUGCCGGAGGUGAUGAAGCACCUGCAAACCAUUGAGAUGCGUGAGGGGGUGCUUCACAUCCGGGAUGUUCAAGGGCCCAAGAAGACGGGAAGCAUGUAGGCUAGGCUCGAGGCGGUGGAGCAUGAGAUGUUCACGUGACAAGGCAUGGUGGAGUGUGGACUCAGUGCCGACCACUCCAUGAUCAUGGAAUUCACCCUUGAUCAGAAGGUGGAUGGCAGGUCCUUGAAGGAUAUUCUCUUCACCCUCAAUGAGAAAAUCAAUUUUCUGCAAGGCCAAAUCUUUGAUCUUCAAAACCAAAUCUUUGAGUAUGAAGCAAGGUUUAAAGGUAUGAGUUUAGCUGCUAGUUGCAGGACUCUGGAGACUCGUGCCAGCUCUUAUAAUGGUAACCCACUAUCAUGGAAGUCAGGGGACAAGUUUUCUUCUGCCUCAUCAUCUACAUCACCAUCACCUCCAUCUCCACCACUAAAGCAGGAGACUUGAGUACACGGGUAUGGGCACUCCUCUUGGCUUUUGCCAAGCUUGGGGGAGGUGCCCUGGUAUCGUAUCACCAUCACUCUUAUUAUCUUUAUCCAUCUUAGUUUGAUCUUUAGCUAUUUCAUGACUUAGUCAAAUAAAAGAUUAGUUUGAUCCAUCUUUUCGAGUGNAGUUUGAAUUUCACUUCUUUACUUUCUUGCUGCAAUCGAAAUUAAGGAAAAUAAUUAAAAAAAUCAUAUGCUAAUCUUAUAGUAAGUACUGACACCACGUAAGGAAAAGUAUAAGUGGUAAAAUUUGUUGAAUAUUGACAAACAUAGCAUUGGUCGGUAAUGCAACACAUGAAAGAAUUAAUUAGGGCAGAGAAGAUUUACAUGCAAAUACACUAUCCUUCACAUCUUUUAUGAUUGUGAGCCCCCAUUAAUUAUUGUAUGCCAAAACUGUUGACAUUGGACAAGGAAGACAACGUAAUUAUUUAUGUUUGCUUACAUUCACAUAGAAGUUAUAUUGUUGUAGAUCCUCUAACAUGUGGUGCUUGCCAAUAUCUUUGCUAGCCAAACUUCCGCACUAAGUAGAGAUACUACUUGUGCAUUCAAAACCUUAAACCCAAAUCCAUGUUUAAAGAGUCCACCAUACCUACCUACGGAUUGAGUAAGAUCCUUCAAGUAAGUUGUCAUUGGUGCACAAGGCAAUAAAAAUUGCUUGUAAACAUGUUUGAUCAUUUAGUGUGAGGGAAAUUAACCAUUGUACAAACUUGUGAUGACAAUAAUAAAAGCGACGAACUGCAUAAUAAAGGUUGCCAUUACAAGGGGCAAUAUAACAUAACAUUCCUUUGCACUAAGAGAUUUGACAUACAACCAAAAAGCGCAUGACAACCUCCCGCGAAGGACCUAUCUUUUACUUUGAUGCAAGAGUAAAAGUUUUCUUCUCUACUUCUUUUUAUUUUCUCCUUCACAAGCGUCAUGUGGUGGGGAAAGAUCUAAGCAUAUAUAUCCAGUUGAAUGUGAAUGCUCAUAACUUAUUAUUGUUGACAUCACCCUUGAGGUGAAUACAUUAGGAGGCAACACUUUAAGCCCCUAUCUUUCUAUGUGUCCAGUUGAAACCUUUUCAUCAUAUGUAUGCAAUGAGUGUUGGCAAUCAUAGAAGACUAAAGAUGGUUGAGUAUGCACACUUUAUUAAAAGCUCUGAUAUGUGACCCUUCCUGAAAAUGUGAUGAAUUGUGUUGCAUGGUCGAUUGAAAACAUAGUUUGUUAGUUUUCAAUAGAGUUUAUGCUUCGUACUUGGACGAUGUGAUGAAUUGAUAAUUGUUUAUAAUAAGCCUUUAUGAUGAAAUUUAUAUGAUGAAAAUGUUGUAAUGAAGUAUCUUACAAAGUUUUAUUUGUUGUUAUAAUAAUGAGCAUGAUGCUAGUAUGUCCAUAUUUUGUUAUUGUCACGUCUCUCUCGCAUGUGAUCGUGAUUUUUGUUAUCGGCUUUUGCUUGAGGACAAGCAAGGUCUAAUCUUGGGGAAGUUGAUACGUCUGAUACAUCUCCGUCGUAUCUACUUUUCCGAACUCUUUUGCCCUUGUUUUGGACUUUAAUUUGCAUGAUUUGAAUGGAACUAACCCGGACUCACGCUGUUUUCAGCAGAAUUGCCAUGGUGUUGUUUUUGUGCAGAAAUAAAAGUUCUCGGAAUGUCCUGAAAUUUACGUUCAAUGAUUAUGUUAGCAAACAAUUGGAACAGAAUGCUCAUAUCCUUAGUCAUUUAAGUGCUUGUGUGGACAGAAAUGUCGAUGAUCUUAAGCUUGUGAGUAAACAUGCCUCUAUGUUUUAGAUUGAUGUUGCUACUACUUGGCUAUGCUUAAUGUUUGUCACUAGGGCCCGAGUACCAUGAUUUCAGAUCUGAACCUAUUAUGUUGUCGCCAAUAUAUGUGUGUUUUAGAUCCUAUCUUGCAAGUUGUAGUCACCUACUAUGUGUUAUGACCCGGCAACCCCGGAGUGACAAUAGCCGGAAUCACUCCCGGAGAUGACCAUAGUAUGAGGAGUUCAUGUAUUCACCGCGUGUUAAUGCGUUGGUCCGGUUCUUUAUUAAAAGGAGAACCUUAAUAUCCCGUAGUUUCCAUUAGGACCCCGCUGCCACGGGAGGGAUGGACAAUAGAUGUCAUGCAAGUUCUUUUCCAUAAGCACGUAUGACUACAUACGGAAUACAUGCCUACAUUAGAUUGACGAACGAGAGCUAGUUACAUAUAUCUCCGUGUUAUAGCUGUUACAUGAUGAAUCACAUCCGUCAUACUCAUUCAUCACCGAUCCACUGCCUACGAGUCUUUUACUACUGGUCCUUGCUAUGUUACUUUGUCUAGGCUUGUCCCUUGCUACAAAAGGGAUUGGGCCACUUUGCUACUACGGUUGCUACUGUUGUUACUCUGCUGUUGCUACUGUUGUUCCUUGCUACUUCGCUGUUACUUGUUGCAAGAUCUUUUCCGACAGUGUUGUCGGGGAAGAAUAGUUACCCGCUCAGGGGGGGGGGGGGGGUGAUACAACAGUUAGGAAUAGUCUGCCGUCAAUAGAUCGUUUCUGACAUCGUUGCUAUCAUACUACUUUGCUACUGAUACUUUGCUUGAAGACACUAAUCUUUCAGGUGUGGUUGAAAUUGACAAACUCAGCUGCUAAUACUUGAAAUAUUCUUUCGCUUUCCCUUGUGCGAACCAACAAAUUUGGGUUGAAUACUCUACCCUCGAAAACUGUUGUGAUCCCCUAUACUUGUGGGUUAUCAACGCCCAUUUUGCAUCAUGUGUUGUUACUCUUAUUUUUAGUGUUUUUAUACAUUAUACCACUUUGUGGAGUAAUUCUAAUGCCUUUUCUCUCAUAAUAUGCAAGGUUUACAUCAAGAGGGAGAAUGCCAGCACAUGGAAGUCUGGACAUGAAAAAGCUACGUCCGAGAUACNGGAGAAUGCGAGCAGAUGGAAUUUUGCACAUGAAAAAGCUACAUCAUAGAUACCUAUUCUGCACAUCUCCAAAUGGGUUGAAACUUCAUGGAGAUUUAUUUUAGAAUAAAUAAAAAAUACUGGAGGAAAUAAGUACCAGAGUGGGCUACGAGGUGCCCAUUAGGAAAUAGGGUGCGCCAGCCCCCCUAGCGCGGCCUGGUGGGUACACUACAGGAAUCGAGCAUUUUGCCGUCACGACCCUACAGACGGCAAAAAAAUUGCCGUCAGCCCAUGAUGACAAAUAAUGCGGGCAUCCGCCAUGCCCGCAAAGGAUAGUAUUGUCGUCAACAUACAGGAGAGCACACGACAAAUCUUUUGCCAUUAGUGAAAUUAUUUUGCCGUCAACUGGUUUGCUAGACGGCAAAAAAAUAACAGAAGAGGAGCGGACUGACCGACGGACGACGUUAAUCAUUUUUGCCGUCAGCUUUAUGAUACCCCAGACGGCAAAACUACCAGUUGUUUGCCGUCUUCAAUAAAGUUCAAGACGGCAAACCACCUGGGAUCUUUGUCCUCUGUCAAUUCUGUACAAGACAACAAACCACAUCAUAUCUUUGUCGUGUGUUGAUGUUGUACAAGACGACAAAUUAAUAGGUGCGCCACAUGUUUUUUUGCUGUCAUAAACAUGACGACAAAGGGGUUGCUAAAUAGACAAUAUAACAGCAUAAAUAGACAAUAAAAACAGCAUAAAUAGACAAUAUAACAGCAGAAAUAGACAAUAUAACAAUAUAGUCCAUAACACAUCCAUACAUAUAUACAUAUAGCACACACCAUAACACAUCAAUAUAACAAGUGUAAAAAAUAAGAUCACAAAGGUUGGCAUCCACGUUACGCAAAACUCACAUGAGCCUAGCAACAAUACGACCUAACCUACUGCAUGGAUAUUGUAGUACAUACCCCAAAUCCACAAGCACCCUACAUAAUGAUUCGCGAUGUCGUCGGUGAUGCAACAACCACAACCAAAACAAAAAAGGCAAGGGAGGCUGGUGGUCCAGGUUGUUGUCUGCGCGCCGCCUCUGUUGGUCAUGCCGUAAGCAUCAUUACCAUUGCCUCCCGCACCCCGCCAUCAUCAGGCUUAUUUGUGGCUGUUGCUCGUCCUCCUACUCCAUGUCUCCAUCUACAUGGACAAGAGCAAGUUAGUUGAAUGUCAUGCACAUGAUAAAACUGCAAGGCAUAUAUAUUUAUGUACAUAAACUGCAUGGUCGAGUUUCAUUCAAAACAUAUGUGAUGAAUUGAUGACUGAAAUCUGUACUGUACCGAUAGGUGUUUAUGCACCAAUAUGUACAUGUAAACACUUCACGAGAUAUUUCCUUCCAAACAUUGUAAGGCAAAGAUAGAUAGUGGUACUACACAUAUUGAAGGUAAACUGUAUUGACUUGAAAGCAAUAAAUUGACUGUAUAUGUUUGCCAACAUAAAAUUCCACUCUCAACUUUUGACGCACAUUUACAUGUUCCGAGAUACCGAAUGCAACUAGUUUACAGAAGAGAUUAUUUCCUAUGAAAUGCACACCUUACAAUUAAAUAAAAUCAUUGUUGAGCAACAGUUAGACAUAGUAUCUCCUGAGUUNNNN